UUUUCUUUUUAUAAAUCGUUUUUGUUUUUUCUAUUUAAAUUCCUGAAUUUAUCUGCUUUUACAUUUUGAACUUCCUGGUUGUCCUUUUUAGAAACAGAAAAAAAAUCAUUUUUAUUGGUAUUUUCGUGUUUUUAUGUUUUGUUCAGGUUACCAUUCUCUCAGUUCAAAAACUAUACGAUUUGCUUCGAUAACAGUAAGUGAACUUUGUGGACAUUAUUUAUAAAACAUACUCUUUUUCUAGUAUGUGAAUUUUCCUAUAGAUGUACAAGAACCUUUUGUUUGUUUGCACCUCAACAACCAACAUGGAACAGUACGAUUGGAAAAUCAUAGAAAGCUAUACCAGAUGAAUCAUUGAAAAUAUUGACCAAAUCACACAACAAAAUGGCCAGGUCGAGGGCAGUUCUUUCACAGGCAUUUGAAGGAAACAAGUAGGGUAUGGAAGAAACAAAAUUUGAAGGGAGGUUGAGAUCCCUCCUCAAUGCACAAUGCACAACUCCUGUGCAGGGGAUCCAUUUUUGCCAGCGACUUGAGCAAAUCAUUGUAUCUUAAUUCUACAGUCGAAGAGCCAGACUCAGCAUGCCUUCUUUUGCAAAACGAAAAUCUGAGCACAUAUAUAAGAAGAAAAUAGUUAUACAAACUAGCACGAACAAAAAGUGUGUCAGGGCAUAUUUUUUCUGAACUUCAUAGGAAAAAACUCUCUGUAUUUUUUCAACCCUUGCUCUAUGUGAACUUCAAUUCCCAGACAAGCAGAACUUGGUCGAUCGAACCAAUGGAUCGACAGGACAAGGAGGACCUUGCGGACGGCAACGCGCUCUGGGCGGUCCCUCCGGAUUUUGUUUUUUUUCGCACGCGUUUUCGGCUUUUUGAACGGGUUUUUUCUGGGUUUUUUCGACGUUUUGGUUUUCCACCGGUCUUCCUUAGCUUUUCAAUAAAAAAAAUUGAAAAAAAAAUUGCGCGAAAAAACGCGUUUUUUUCUUUCGCGAGAGUCACGGUUUUGCUUUCGCGAGAGUCACGGCCGUGCCUCUCGGAAACGAAAAAAACGCGUUUUCUGUUUUUUUGCGUUCGCGAGAGUCACGGUUUUGCUUCCGCGAGAGGCACGGGUGUGCUUUCGCGAGAGUCACGGCCGUGCCUCUCGGAAACGAAAAAAACGCGUUUUCUGUUUUUUUUUCUUUCGCGAGAGUCACGGUUUUGCUUCCGCGAGAGUCACAGCCGUACCUCUCGGAAACGGAAAAAAUGUUUUUUCUGUUUUUUUCCCUUUCGCUAGAGUCAUGUUUUGCUUUCGCAAGAGGCACGGUUGUACUUUCACGAGAGUCACGGCCGUGCCUCCUCGGAAACGGAAAAAACAUGUUUUCUCUUGUUUUUUUCCGCGAGAGGCACGGUUUUGCUUCCGCGAGAGGCAUGGUUGUGAUUUCAUGAGAGGCACGGGAGUGCCUCUUUCGGAAAGGAAAAAAACCCGUGCUCCCGGUUCAGUUUUUUCAUCCGGUUUUUUUCAUAAAAAAAAGUUCGUCAAAACCUAUCAACAUGAGAUCUAGUUUUGAAGAUCUCGAUAAUCCAAAGGUGAAAGUGGUUCGAGAUUUGGACGCACGGUUUAAGAGAUAAAACGUUUUGAAUAAACGGAUCUAUGAAAAAAGGGAAAACUCCUAGGUUGCAACACUUGUCGCAACCAGGAGAAUUGGAGUGAUCUUUGCAACGAGUACUCCUCAAUUAGUGAUUUCGGGGAACAAAGCGCAGAGAGCGAUCAUGAAUAAAAAAAUGGACCAGCCCAAUAACUAUGAUGCAGAGGAAAGAGCUUCAGCGAGACGGAAGGAAGUCCCGCAUGAAGCGAGAUAUAGUUGUCGCGCCCUCUUCGGGACAACACACAUUUGUCCAUAGGUACUAACCUUUUAGAGGCCCUUGUGUGAACUCUUGAACUCCAUCACCAUCCACGGGCCCUCGCCUCAGCACGACUGGUCACGCUUGCCAGGGCUAUAUAUAUGUUGCAGGCACUAAUUCCUAAUAGGAAUUGCCUAUUAGCGACAGUAGCAGGCCGGCUCAUUUCUGUGCGUGUAUCUUCGCAUGGCAUGUUAGCGGAUGAUGUUGUAGGUUCGGUUUACUAUUGUUUUUUGUUAUUUAUUUUAUUUUAUUUGUAUUUCCACUCUUUUCUUUGGUUUUCAUUUUUCUCUUCAUUUUGCUUUGGUGUUCUUUGUUUUAUCAUUGGUUUUUAAUUUUUCUUUCUUUGUUAUAAUUCACUUUUUGUUUGUUUCUUUCUUGUUUUCGCCGUUUUCUUUGGUUUCUUUACUUUUCUAUUGUUUAUUUGUCGGUUUUAUUGGAUUUCUCAUCAGUUAUCAUUUUUUCCUUUUUUCCGACACAUGUCUACAUUUUUCAUACGUAUUGUACAUUUUUAUUAUACAUUAGGAACAAUUUUACACCUGUUUAACCUUUCUCAAAAACAAGAUUACCAUUUUUAUUAAUAUAUGUUUUGAUGUCUACCUUUUUUCAUACAUGUUGUAUAUUUUUCGUGUACAUAUAUAAAAAUUUAUAAACUAUUUCAUAUUUUUAAAAUAUAUUUUUACAAAUAUAUGCUUUGAAUAUAUUUUUUCAAACACAUGUUAAAUAUAUUUUUAAUACACAGUGGAAUUUUUUAAUGAUAGAAACAUUUUAUGUAAACUAUGCAAACUUUUCUUUACAUUGUACAUUUUUUUAAAUGUCCCGAACACAGUUUUUGAAACUUGUGAACAAUUUCUUUUAUUGUAACAUACAUUUUUUCCAAAUAAAACGAACAUUUUGUUUAAAAUGUAUAAGGACAACUCUAUCCUUCAGCCGGCUGAUGCACGCACAACAUCCAUCGCCCGCAUAGCUGUCGGAUUGAUUUUGAUUGAGUGCUUGCGCUGGCCACAAGUCUCGUGCAACUAGUUUUUUUUUGCAACAAGCGUCCUGUUUCAGAAGCAGUUUGCAACACAAAUCUUGUUUCAGAAAGAAAGAAAAGGGUAAGCGAUUCCCAAAGAAAAGGUUUUCAUGGUGAAGUUUAUCUUUUGGCAACAUGGUCUACUUUCAGAUAGAAAGAAGAAAAAUGGUUCGACGAUGCAUAUUUUCUCUUCUGCAAUAGGGCUAUUGUUUCAUAAACAUAGCCCCGGUUGCAGAAAGCGCCGAAUGAGUGCCCCGCGUUAGAGCGUAUGAGGCCAAGCAUUGCAACAUGACGCAUGUUUCAGAAACAUGGCUUCGGUUGCAGAAAUCGGCAGAGGAGUGCCCGGCGUGAGAGUUCGUCGUCGUCGUUAGAGGCAGCUGCUCGGGGUGCUGGGUCGGAGGAGGUGAGACAACUCUGGCGGCCGCGACGCUCCAUGGCCGAGGCACUCAGGCCAUGGCGGGGCAAUGGUGCUGUUUCGGUCGACGUUUGCACCAUGACCGCAACAAGCUAGCUGUUGCAAAGGUCCGCCCCAGUUUGCUGGGACGGUAGAUCGGACGGCUGUUUCGGGCGGCAUCCAACGGUUGCCGAAGUAGUUGAUCUUAUCGGUUUAUCACCCGGCGAAUCGCUUACCAUCAACCGGCCGAAAAGAGACAUCACGUCCGUUGCCUUAGCUGUGAACCACGUGUCCAUGUGGACCACGCACACAUCUCCACCCUCCUUCGUUUCUGUAACAAGGCCCACUACAUCGUCUUCUCCCCAUAACUCUAAUCCUCUUUCUCUCUCAUCUCCUGCUACCAAUUGGAUGGGCAGCUGACCACCGCCGCUCACAUCGGGCAGCUGACCACCCAGCCACUCACAUCUCCUACCCCCCAUCUAGAUGGGAUCACCAAGCCACAACCCAACGUUGGCGACAGUGCUUGAGAUCCGCGCAGCUAGGUUGUCGCUCCAGAGGCACGCGGCGCAGCGCACGGCCUCACAAUUGGUGUUGUCGGUGUUGGGGGAGCCCUCCCUACUAGAUCCAUCAUCGAUGUUUCUGAAACAAACGUCUUGUUGCAAUAGUCAAUAAUUUUUUUGAAACAAAGCUCUUGUUGCAAAGAGAGAUCAUACACGAAGAUGCUUUGCAACGUCACCAAUGUUUCUGAAAUAGAGCUCUUGUUGCUAUAGUUGGUCGUUUCUGAAACAAAGCUCUUGUUGCAAAGAGAGAUCAUACACGGAGAUGCUUUGCAACGUCACCAAUGUUUCUGAAACAAAGCUCUUGUUGCAAUAAUUGGUCGUUUCUGAAACAAAGCUCUUGUUACGAUAGUCAGAUGGGUUUCCGAAACAAAGCUCUUAUUGCAAUAGUCACUGUUAUUUCUGAAACAAUAUGUUUGUUGCAAAGAGGGAUACUAUGCUGAGCAACUUAGAUUGGAUGGCUCGCGAGGCGGCGGAUCUUUUAAAAAGAUCCGCCGACCGACGCGUAGCAUGAAAUAGGUAGAAAAAGUAACAGGACGCCAGUAGGCAAGCCGCGGCUACUGGGCCGGGCCAAUACGUGUUGCCCUGCAAGCGAGCCGUGGUAGGGCUCACCACGGGAGGCACAUAGCCGCUCCUAGCCAGACCUGCCGUCUACACUUAACGUUGCACUUAUCAAAGCUCAAUCGCUAUUGCAAACGGCUUAAUUGUGUCGAUUAAUUGUUUCAACGUCACCACUUGGGAUCCUAAUCUUUUGGGACUUGUGUCGAUUAAUUGGAAAAGAAUUGAAAAAAGAAGAUGAACUAGAACAAGAGGAGAUGUCGGCGACGUGCUUUCCAUAGAGAAUAUGAUGCAAAUGGUGUCUUGGCUAGUCUUCUAGAGUGAUAUGCAUAGGGUAUAGGCUCCUGCUUGUGCUGGGCCCUAGGCAGCCGCACUCCCUAGCCAUGCUCUAAGGUCAGCCCUGUUUGUCCAUGGACAAAACCCAUGCCGCUAACUGGCAGCUGCACUCCCUAACCUACGCAUGCACAAAAAAAAACCUAUGCCAAGAGUGAUUCUCAAAAAAAAAAAAACUAUGCCAAGAAUACUUGAGUGCGUCGACACCCUUUGUUCUUCAUCAGGCGUUGAUAUGUCUCACCUAAAGCAAGACGAGAGGAAGUCUCGCUAAAGGCGAGCUCCAUAUUGGGUCGGCCCAUCGCGCAGCUUACCACUGGCCACAUGCCAUAUUCUUUUUUUAAGGGGAAAAGAGAGCUCUUUCAUUCAUUCAUAGCAAGUUUACCGUCAUUCUCAAUUACAUGAAAGACAUUCGGUGGCACAUUCUGCAGUAUAUAAAAAUCUCCAUGAGCUCUAGCAUUAGCUGCUAUCUCAUGUGCCGAUACGUUGCACUCUCUUUCAAUUUUACUCACCAUGCACAAACUGAACUCCCGCAUUACAGUCUUUGCUUCUUCAUAAGUAGCCCACCACUUAGUGUUGUUUCUUUCUUUUGCAUUCACAGCCGCAACGACGGCAGCACAGUCUGAUUCCACCUGUACCUGAACCUUGUUUAUGUCUCGCAAACACUUGAGGCCCAGCAGCAGAGCGUUUGCUUCAGCUUCCUCUACAUGAAUACACAUAUGCAAGUGGCGGCCUACAGAGAAAAAACUGAACCGGUGCUAUCUCUGGUGACUGCCCCUGCCCACGCUGAUCCCAAAGCAGAUACAAAGGAGGCAUCAACAUUUAGCUUAACACACUCGCCUUGGGGUCUGUACCAGGCCACAUGCCAUAUUCUCGUUGUUUUUUUUAGGUUUUUUUGUUUUGUUUUACUUUCUUUAUAUUUCCAGAUAUUUUAUAUUACAAAAUACUUUACAUAAAACAUUUCAAAAAAUGUGAAUCAUGCAUUUGGAAAAUGUUUAAUGUGUAUAAAAAAAUAUUGGCCAUGUAUUAAAAAAGAUGAAUUUUUUAUCAUGCAUAUAAAUUUUUUAAUCAACCAUUUGAAAAAAUAUUGAACAAGUAUUUGAAAAAUGAUAAGUGUGUAUAGAAAGAAAUUUCACCAUGUAUAAAAAAUGAUGAAUUUUUUUAUCAUGUUGAGCAAGUAUUUGAAAAAUGUUAAAUGUUUAUAGAAAAAAAAUAUUGACCAAGUAUUAAAAAAAUGAUGAAAUAAUUGGAUCAUGUAUAUAAAAAUGUUAAUCAAGUAUUUAAAAAAUGAUGAGUAAGUACUUGAAAAAUGUCGAUCAAACAUUUGAAAAAUGUUAAACGUGUACAGAAAAAAUGUUGACCACAUAUUUAAAAAAUGUUGAAGAAUUUUAGCUGCCGAGGUCCUCCCUUGCGCUUGUUCAUUGAUUCUUGUUCGGAGCGGACGUCACCUCCGAAUUGCCACCUCUCGCCUACUAUGCCAUGAACUCUGUUGGUCGCCCGAAGAUUUCUCCCCAAAUCACGCUUUCCUCUGUUCAUCCGCGCUCUUAAACCAUUUUUUGAACAGAAGAUUUCCAUCAUCAUCUCUAGCACCCGAUGUUGGACAUACUAAAUCUGAAUGUCCCAAACGACCACAUGGAAAACAGAAGUGGGGAAGUUACUCAUAUUGUAUAUCAUACCAAUCCUUGUCGUUUCUCAGUGUCAAAUAAAAAAUAAUACAUAUCCUCAAGGGUUUUUACACAUCAAUUGUGACUCUAACCACCCACCAGAUGAAUUGGCACAACUUUUGCUUCCUUAUCAAUUUGCUAGGCGAUCGAAAGACCCCAACUGCCGUUCCUCAGAUUAUAAGGAAGAAUAAUCACUCUUGCCCAAAUCUGAAGUUUAUCAAAUUUGAGUUAUGAUGGGCGCAUGCAUUCUUCAAAUUUCUCCAGGAUCACCGCGUGCUUGCUCACGUGCCAUGACGAUCCUUCCCAAACCGUGUCCAUGUCACAUAGGGUUUCGAAUUCAGCGACAGGCAUGUUCUCUCCUAGCAAGCGAAAAACAAGACCUCUAGGGUUUCCCCAAGACGGGCGGAGGGCACGAAGAUCGUCUAUAUACGGGACAAAUUACGGUACAAAAUCUUCCCUUCCACCAGCCAAUUACGUUUUGCCCCGAUCCGUACACCGUCCAUCAAUAAGAGAGUUGCCUUCUCCUCUGUAACGUCCAAUUUCCCCAUCGCCUCCACCAUCUUCCCUAUCACCGAGCUGGGCGAGCCAGCCUUCUUCGUGCCAAUGCGGGAGGAGGGCCGAUCCAUGCCUUGCCCUUCGAUCUAGCGCUCCCCUGUCGAGAUCAGCGAGCGCCGAUGAGUCCCCUCGAUUCUCUAACAUUCGGAGGAAAGUCGGGUAAGCUGACUUUCCUCCACUCUUAGCCUAUGAACAAUGCUCAUUUCAACUUUGAAAAGACCAAUUUCAAUUCAUGAGAUACCAAUUUCAAUUUUAGAAGACUCAUUUUAAUUCAUUAAAAAAAACUCAUUUCACCUUUUUCAAAAUAACUCAAUUUCAAUUCAUAAGCUCCCUGACUUCCCUUCACUUUUUUACACAAGAAGAACACCGUAGCAUGUUAGAGGAUCCGGCUCCCUCACCUUUGUCCCCUUUCCCCACCCACACGGCGCCGCGGCUGACCUCCACCUUGCUGGCUGGCCGCCGUCUCUCUGCCCGCCAAGCUCCAGCCCCCGCCCCCGCCCCCGCCUUGCCUCUCCGCGUUCUCCCUGGCCACCGCGCCGUCCACGCCGACUCGCCCCGCGACGACCACCGCGCCGUCGCUCCCCCCUCAUCUUGAAGGCCGGUGUGGUGGCCCGCCACCGAGCCACCCCCACACGCCCUGCAGCUUGAAGCUAGCCGAGGGAUCUGCGCCUCCAGCCACCAAGAUGGUCACCCGGUUUGCUGCUCUUCCCCCUCUGAAGAUUUUUCUGAAUGUCAACGGGGGCAAAAGCAGUCCACCGGAGCUGAACACUUAGGAUUAGUCGGGCUGGAUUUCAACAAGCCACUACUCCAAUUUUAUUAAGCCAGUACCCCAAUUUCAAGUAUAUCUUCUUGUGCUUCCCAGAAUUUAUUUCGCAAUUGCUGGGAAUUUAUGAGCUUAUUCUUCAUGUUUUUUCUUCAGGAUGAUCCAAUAUGCUGAAAAACACCAAGUGGAAAUUGCAUGGCUGUUUGACUUAGCAUGCCCGGAUGUUGCCAAGAGGCAAGGAUUGUUCGAAGCAACACCAACACAUUUUAUUCUUCAUGACAUGCACAUACUCCUUUCGCUGGAGCGCAUUGCCAACAUGCCUGAUUACCAACGCUACUGCAUCACCGUUGCUUCAGUGUGUAGCCUCAUCUCUGAGUACGAUGUGAUCCACACCUUUGUUUGCUGCUUUCUUGGCAUUGCCGUGGGAUCCUGGACAGCAAACAAAUGCUGGUACCAAAUACCUAGCUAGCAUUGAUAUAACUGCAGCUAUUUGUGUUCGACCUCUCAGUUGUUCGUGGACUUCAGUUGAGUUGAAAGCCUGGUCUCCAUCGUUGUUCCUGGUCAACAUUACAUGUGGCUGAUGAUUUGGAGGAUAACUGACGAUAGACCUAUCACUGCAUGUUUGGUUAUGCUACAGACCACUGAAUUUUGUUCCACAGAAGUGAGCUCAUGGAAGAUAUCUGGUUUCAAUAUCAUUAUCAGUAUCCAAGCUGACUACUGCUAUGCGUGCUCUGUUCCUGACAAUACAUAUCUGCAAUCCAUGGCCGAGUGCUCUCCUGCUGAGAUAUGCUGACUUUGGAUCCAGGUGACAGUGUAUGGAUUCCUGUUGCAUAUGUUGUUGUUACCGAUGGCGUAUGGACCGUCAUGUGCUUCUGAGUGUUCCUCGUAGUUCCACGGGCAUUUCAGUUCCUUGCUUAUGUUGCCAUAUGGAGCUCCUGCAGUGUGGAGUUUUGUCAAGGCAAGUUGUCAGGGGAUCCAGGCAUCUGGGCCCUUCUCUAUUUCUUUGGACUUUUCACUCAAGCUGAAGUAAUAGGAAGGAGGAAUGUUGUAGCUCCAACCUACUACCACGGCCACUGCCUCAACCAUGCUCUGACAACGUCUCUGUCAACCAACACUAUUACCUCGAUGCUUUCUGUGACCAAGUGAACAUGAUCGACGACUACUUCCUUGAGCAAGUCGGCGUCGUUUGCUACCUCAACCUCGCCAAGUUCCGCCUCAACUACGGCACCCACCACCACCUUGGCGAAGCCAUGAAGCAUCAAGUACCAUGGGAUCCCGGUGGUUUCCACAUUGAGUCGGCUUGAGGGCAAGCCGAAAUUUAAGGAAGAGGGAAUGUCAGUGGCCUCACUCUCUGUAGCUGGGCCGUACAGAGGGGCGCCUCUUGGGCCCGGGCCUGCCAGCAAACUACUACAUGAGAUGAGUACAAAUAGAACAGAAAGGCAUCUGAAGACGGGGACGAACGGAAGGGCGUGGUGUCGUCUUCUCCGCUUUCCUGCUCCUGUACUGCUCGUCUUCCUCCCCUAUCCCCUCCAUGAAUUCCAUUAGUUAGCUUCCAAUUCCUCCAUCAAUGGCUUGCAACCUUUGAAUCAUAGCUGGGUUGUUAACAUUUACCCUGAUUCUUCAGUUCAGUUUAGUUGAGACACCCAAUUCCUCUGUCCCUUAUCUGAAAUCUCUUCUUCAGUUAAGUUGAGACACCAAAUUCCUCUGUCCCUCAUCUGAGAUCUCUUCUUCAGUCAGCUUGAGACAGAGUUGUUUGCUUCCCCCGUCCCGCAACGGUAGCCGCAACAUCAGGUUCAACAGUAUCAUCAGUUUCGCAUAAUUUCUUGAAUAAUAAAAAAAAAUCUGUUGCCAUUUCCUCAAUCUGCUUCUUUUCCUGAACCAAGUUCCGCUCUGCAUCUUUUAGUUUCCCUGAUCUUAUUUUUCCUCUGUCGACAUGCGGCUUUUCGUUGAAAAUACAUAUGGUGAUUUGUUCCCCCUCUCUGAUAGUAGUGACUCGAGCGCGUUGGGGCCAUAGCAUCUUCUCUUCUCUGUACAGAUAUAUUCAUCCAACUCAUUUGAGCNNNNNNNNNNNNNNNNNNNNNNNNNNNNNNNNNNNNNNNNNNNNNNNNNNNNNNNNNNNNNNNNNNNNNNNNNNNNNNNNNNNNNNNNNNNNNNNNNNNNNNNNNNNNNNNNNNNNNNNNNNNNNNNNNNNNNNNNNNNNNNNNNNNNNNNNNNNNNNNNNNNNNNNNNNNNNNNNNNNNNNNNNNNNNNNNNNNNNNNNNNNNNNNNNNNNNNNNNNNNNNNNNNNNNNNNNNNNNNNNNNNNNNNNNNNNNNNNNNNNNNNNNNNNNNNNNNNNNNNNNNNNNNNNNNNNNNNNNNNNNNNNNNNNNNNNGGUUAAGUUGAGACAGAGACCGAUAGAGAUCGAAUUCCCCGCAGCGGCAACCGCAACCGCCUCCCUCUUUCUCCUCGCCCCCCCUUCAAAUAUCCGCUCGGCCGCCAAAACCAACCGCAACCAAAGCGAAACCCCAACCCCAACCAACAGCAAUCAGUCAUGGAAAUCAACCGAGGGAGGCAGGCGCCCGCCGCGGCAGGCCCCCUCCUGCCGCCUCCAGGGGCCGUGCCGCCGCCGGCCACCUGGAGCUCCUCGGGGUGCUCCGCCUCCGGGCGAGGGGCGUCCCCGCGUGGAUGCUCCCGCCGUACAUCCUCCUCGAUGUGGACAUAUACGGCUCCAACCCGCGACAACUCCUGGAGUCGCACGCGCCUGCCACCGCCUCCGACGGCACGUCGGCCCUCUACUUCCUGAGCGUGGUCCGCGCGAAGACGGCGGGCGACUACAGAGAGAGGAGGAGCGUCCCCGGGGGGUUCUGGAGGUCGGAUCGAGCCCCGGUGCCGCUCGUCUCCGAGGCGAUUCAAGGUACUCGGCGCACCUUCUUCUACACCGAGCUGGGGUCGCACUCGCACGGGGAGAAGAUCGGUACGGGGUUCAUGAUGCAAGAGCUCAUCCUCGUCGGCGAGGAAGAGGCGCGCCAAGGCGGCGACGGAUUGGCCUUGUGCAAGAUCUAUGUGAGUCCGCACGGAGGGAGGGACGCGCCCGGCAUCGCCAAUUCAAUCAACAAGAGGAAGAUCGGGGAGCAAGGCGUCGCCAGUUCAAGCAAGAGGAGGAAGAUGGUGGCCGGGGCCGCCUCCUUCUCUCCGGCUCCUGUUCGGGCCGCCUCGGCGCCUGCGCCUGCUCUCCGCCCGGCGCCUGCUCUUCCGGUGAGGAGCUCCAGUCUGCCUCAACAAGNNNNNNNNNNNNNNNNNNNNNNNNNNNNNNNNNNNNNNNNNNNNNNNNNNNNNNNNNNNNNNNNNNNNNNNNNNNNNNNNNNNNNNNNNNNNNNNNNNNNNNNNNNNNNNNNNNNNNNNNNNNNNNNNNNNNNNNNNNNNNNNNNNNNNNNNNNNNNNNNNNNNNNNNNNNNNNNNNNNNNNNNNNNNNNNNNNNNNNNNNNNNNNNNNNNNNNNNNNNNNNNNNNNNNNNNNNNNNNNNNNNNNNNNNNNNNNNNNNNNNNNNNNNNNNNNNNNNNNNNNNNNNNNNNNNNNNNNNNNNNNNNNNNNNNNNNNNNNNNNNNNNNNNNNNNNNNNNNNNNNNNNNNNNNNNNNNNNNNNNNNNNNNNNNNNNNNNNNNNNNNNNNNNNNNNNNNNNNNNNNNNNNNNNNNNNNNNNNNNNNNNNNNNNNNNNNNNNNNNNNNNNNNNNNNNNNNNNNNNNNNNNNNNNNNNNNNNNNNNNNNNNNNNNNNNNNNNNNNNNNNNNNNNNNNNNNGAGGAGCUCCAGUCCUCAGCAAGGCCCCUCCCCUGCGCCUCCUCUCCGCUCCGCGCCUGCUCUUCCGGUGAGGAGCUCCAGUCCUCAGCAAGGCCCCUCCCCUGCGCCUCCUCUCCGCUCCGCGCCUGCUCUUCCGGUGAGGAGCUCCAGUCCUCAGCAAGGCCCCUCCCCUGCGCCUCCUCUCCGCUCCGCGCCUGCUCUUCCGGUGAGGAGCUCCAGUCCUCAGCAAGACCCCUCCCCUGCGCCUCCUGUGGGGCAGGGCGCCUGCAUCUCCUCUGCGCCUCUCAGGCAAGCUGCCUCCACCUCCUCGGCGCCUGCGGCAUCCACCUCCCCGAACGAAGCCAGGCGAUUGCUCGUUCUGGAGAUCUGCAAGUCCCCCCUCAUGGAACGGGGGAAUAUCUUGAAGCAUAUAAUCUACGGAGCUGCGGAGAUUCUGGGUGGGACAAAGCGAACUUUAGACUGCACCAAUUUGGUCCUCUUCGAGAAGAAGAAGAUGCUGGGAACAGAAAGUUUUCAAGGUAAACUACUACAUGGUGAUACAUCUACUCUGUUUCUGUAGAUAGACUAGAGUCUUCCCUCUUCCUAAUUGUUUGUUAUAGAGUGAUCAGAUACUUAUUGUUGUUGCAUACUUGGAAUUAUUUGUUACAUAGUGAUCAGAUACUUAUUGUCGUUGCAUACUUGGAGUUGUUUGGACAAUGGAUGCGUUUAGGCUCUUCGAUCUGAUAACUGACAACUACACUUGUUUUUAUUUCUGCAGAUAUCUCAAGCCCUGCUCUGGAUACCCAUCACCUGUCAUUCACCUUUCAGGAGAUAAAUGCGGCGACAUUAGGCUUCCGGAGAGAUCACUUCCUCGGAGAAGGCAGGUCCGCUAAGGUGUAUAAAGGUGUGCUGCUAGAUGGCAAUAAUGUAAGUUCAUGUGCUCUAUACUUCAAUAGACAGUUCAAUUAUUGAGCCAUGUUUGAUGAUGUAUUAAGCUGGAAGAUAUUUUCCUUCUACAAUAGACAGUUCACAUGAAUGACAGUAUGAUCACAAGUUAAUCUGAGUUCAACAAGUGAUAUAAGACAUUUUAGGGCUGAUUGAACUUCGGGUGUAUCAUAACAAGCAUAUGUUUGGUUUCUGUGAGAUUAUUGAAUAGGUUUGCACGUUUCAUUGCAUGCUGUUGCUACCUUUCCUUUUCCUCUCAGUACUAUCUUGGAAGUGCAGCAGCAUAUUGGAACAAAAAAAAACAUAUCAAGUUUACAUAUGAUCAUAUUUGUUAAUAUACAAAUAUUUUUACCAUCUUCCAUUCUAUAAAGUUACUGCAAGCCCUCUGAUGUGCACACAAAACGUGCAAUGUAAGUCAGUUUAAUUAAAAGUUGUUCGGUUUAAUUUUGUAUUGCUACAGAGAUAGCAAGCAUAUUGUGCAGGUGGCCAACUGCCCCUACAUCUCUAGUAUCCAGAUACAACUAAUCUUAACACAAUAUAAGACUUUUUACUUCAAGACUUUUUUUACUGGAAAAGAAAUGACUGGUAUUUUACUUCAAGAUUCCACACACACUUGUAGUUUUUGUAUGUCAAGAACAGCCAUAGCAUUUCGUUUCGUAUUUUUUAAUGUGGUCGACGAUUCAUGCUAUGGGUUACUGAGGUUGUUUUUUCUGAGGAGAUGGUGUAGUAUAUGAUUCGCUUGUAUGUUGCUGUCAUAGGUAGCUAUCAAGGUUCUCAACCCCAAUGGAUUGCAUGGGAACAAAGAAUUCUGCACAGGAGCUAUGGCGUUGAGCAGGAUUUAUCACCCGAACCUUCUGAAGCUUGGUGGCUUUUGCACCGAUGAUAAUCAAAGAAUAUUGAUUUAUGAAUAUAUGCCUUUGGGCUCAUUGGAAAAACAUAUUUUCGGUAUGGUACUAAACUACACAAUAUACUAAUAAUUCUGUUCUCUGCUUCCUUGCUUUGUUGCUGAAUAAGCAAAGGCUUGUUUUAACCAAAAUUUGGUUUUGUUUUUCAUCUAGAUCUUUCCCCUCAUAAGAAGGCGCUUGAUUGGAAUACAAGGAUUAACAUACUUGCUGGGGCGGCUGAAGGCCUGAAGCACUUGCAUGUUAACUGCAACCCUGCAGAGAUACACGGUGAUGUGAAAAGUGGGAACAUUUUGCUUGGCGAGGGAUGUCAUCCCAAGUUGUCUAACUUUGGCUUGGCAAAGCUAGGUCCGCCUGGUGACAAUACUCAUGUUCCAACCAGAGUGAUGGGUACAUCUGGGUAUUGUGCGCCGGAGUAUCUUGAGAGUGGUGAGUUGACUAUCAAGUCAGAUGUUUUCAGCUUUGGUGUUGUCAUAAUGGAGGUUAUCACAGGAAGAAACGCUUUAGGAUGGAGUCUUACCAGAGCUGAGCCUACCCUUGCUGAAUGGGUAAGCAUCACUUCCUGCGCUCUCUUUUUGUUUUGAAGAACAAUUCCUUGCUUCUGCCCAAUGUUACAAAUCUCUUUAUCACUAGGAAGAUAUUACUGCGAUGAAAAUUAAUUAAUGUGACUUCUGUUGCUCUAUAUUUCAGGCCACGCCUUUGACCAGGAGAAAUGAUUUUACAAAGUAUGCCGACCCAGCGCUUGGCAACAAGUACAACAAGAAAUCACUGCUUCAGGUUCUUUCGGUUGCGCGGAUGUGUCUAAAUCCAGCAGCCAGCCUAAGGCCUGACAUGGCAGACGUAGCGGCGGCACUUACUAACAUCUCAAUGUCUGCUGGUACCGACGUAUAGUUUCCGGCCAUUGUAUGAUGAUGAUGAUACUGUGCUCUAGAAGAGUCUCCAUUUCCCAGUCCGAUAUGAUCGAAUCGCUGGAGGGGGGCAGUUUUGCCUGUAAAAACUAUAUAGAUACAUAGAUAAAGUAGGAGCAAAUUGUGAUAUGUGCUUGGAGACAUAGUUAUUGAGUAUUAUCUGCCAUUUUUCAGGUGCUUAUUAUCCAACUGUUUCUGACUCUUAUGCGACUGAGUGCUAUGGGCAUGAUGGUGGACGUAAUAUUUUACUAAAUCGUGAAUGAUCAUUCCGGACAAUAAUCAACGGAUACUUUGUCCUUUUUACACUACGCCUAUAAUAAGACACUGGAACAUCAUUUCCUUUGCAGUGCUUUUGCAAAACUCUUCACAAGGAAACAGAGCAUCCUCUUCCCUUUCCUGUAUAACAAAACAUCUAUCUGUGGACUGUGGUCACAUCACCUUAGCUUUUUAUCAUCUUUCUAGCUAGAAGAAGAACCAGUCUUCAACAAUGCAGUGUUUGUCCAGAGAAAUAUGCUCAGUGCCCCUAUCUUUUCUCCCCAGCCUUUUUCUCCAUGUAUGUGUUUGGAUGAACAAAGCAUCAGUUUCAUAAGUUCUAUUUCCACAUGUUAUUNNNNNNNNNNNNNNNNNNNNNNNNNNNNNNNNNNNNNNNNNNNNNNNNNNNNNNNNNNNNNNNNNNNNNNNNNNNNNNNNNNNNNNNNNNNNNNNNNNNNNNNNNNNNNNNNNNNNNNNNNNNNNNNNNNNNNNNNNNNNNNNNNNNNNNNNNNNNNNNNNNNNNNNNNNNNNNNNNNNNNNNNNNNNNNNNNNNNNNNNNNNNNNNNNNNNNNNNNNNNNNNNNNNNNNNNNNNNNNNNNNNNNNNNNNNNNNNNNNNNNNNNNNNNNNNNNNNNNNNNNNNNNNNNNNNNNNNUUUUGCUUUGGAUCUUGUCCCAGAUCUGCCAUCCCUCCUCUCCCCUCCCCUCCCCUUGGCUCUCUGUUUUUUGUGGCUGAUUUGAUGGAUUGGAGAAGAAGAGCUCUGUUUCCAUAUCAGCUUCUUUCCCCAACUUUUUUUAGUAUGGGUUCGCAACAUUUGUACUCAUACACUCGUACGCAAGAACACUCUCCCCGGGGAACAUGGCUAGGGUUUUUACCUCCAUCUUGAGGGGACUGAACUUGUAUAGUUCCUCAUGUCACCCCCGGGUCUCGCUUGAUAUUUGAUAAGGCCUUGCUCCUCCCCACUCUCUUACUUUUAUAUUCUCACCACGACAGUUGGUGCCCACCUUGGGGCUGCACAUCUCGUGAUCGAUGGUGCAGGUGGUUCAUUCGUCUUCAUCGACUUCCGGCAUGGAGCUAAUCACGGGAGAGCUGAUCUUCUUCGGAACGAUUGGUUUUGUCAUCGAUGAUUCAACGCGGAUUGCCGAGGCCUUGUUGGAUGUUGAUUCGCUGUCCGCGUGCGGUGUCACGCACUACCGUGUCGACGACUCUGGCGUGUUGUAUCGCCAGCCGUCUGGCCCGUACCAGGCAGCCGGAGGACCCGCGGUUCGUCAUCAUCAGAAGCGCUCGGGCAAGGCAUGUCUUUGUCGUUGGACUCACCAUGUUGCUUCAAGCAAGGCCUCUUCCCAUGAGGUAGCUAUGAUUCACCCCUCUUGAGUUUGUUCAUGAUUUGUUUGUGACAACCUCUGAUGAUGAGGAGGGUUGUGGGAGCCUUGGUCUGUUGCAGAGGUUUUGAUUCCAAUCCGUCUCACAGAACGGUUGACUCGUCAGCUGACAUGGAUGACAAAGAGCAGGGAAAUCGGAACACCAAUGAUGGUAAUGCAACUGGCCAUGAAGGCGGUGAAGAGCGUGUAGGAAAUGGUACCCGAGGUGGUGCCACAGAUCUCACUCAGGAGCAGAUAGCUGUGUGGGCUUAGGAUGCGGAGCAGGCCCUGCAAACACCAAUUGACACAUCAAUUCGUGAAGGUUUUCAUCUUGAGGCUACUCGUUUAGCCACCUUGGCUAAGAGGUAGUGCUUAAGGAAAUUAGAUGUCACAACCCAGAGAAGAGGGGAGAUCGAGAUGAGAAAGGGGAUCGAGAUGCAGAGUAGGUGAGAGGAGAGCUUGGAGAAGGGGAAAGGAGAAUCGAGAUCUUUUCCAUUUCAUGCUCAGCGUCUUGUCCACGGUACACUAUGUAGCCGCCCACUUGGGCUAUCUCACACCCACACACGGCCUCAGGCCCAACACACACUUGCUUACAUGGCCUCUGGCCCAAUACGUCUAGCUAGCCCUGUUGCAGUUCAGUUAACUGAACUUCACUUUCAGUCCGCUGCAGAUGUAUCAUCUGCAGGCGUGACAUUGUCCCCUCCUUGAGAAGCAGCUUCCUCCCAGAUGCAGGCCGACGGAUAACGUUGCCGUAGGAUGUCGUAGUCCUCCCAGGUGGUGGCCACCGGUGGCAUGUUGGCCCACUGAACAAGCAAUUGGACGACUGGAGCGUCUCCCUUUUUCAUCAUGCGGCGAUCCAGGAUGGCGAUUGGUUCAGACUCGCCAGCGGCGAGGUCCGGUACCCUGGGCAGUUCCGCGAAGACAGGAGUAUAAUCAGGGGUGAAAGGCUUCAAUUGGGAGACGUGGAAUACCUGAUGGACGCGGCUGUCCGGAGGCAGCUGCAGUGGGUAUGCCAGGGAGCCAAUGCGCUCGAUCACCAAGAACGGGCCAUAGAACUUGUAUGAGAGCUUGCGGCAGGGGCGGUUGACGAUGGAAGAUUGAGCGUACGGCUGGAGCUUGAGCAGUACCUGCUCUCCCACAUCGAAAGCGUGCUCGGCACGGUGUCGAUCCGCCUGCUUCUUGAAACGCGCCUGGGCGCGCGAGAGCUGCACACGCAACAGGUCGGUGUGCGCAGCCCAGUCCAGGUCACCGGAGGACGCGUCGGCAGGCAGCGUGGGAGCUGAGUUGAGGAAGGCCUCCCAGGUUGGGCUCAGUGUUGUAGAGCGCCUUGAACGGAGAGCACUUCAGAGACGAGUGAUGAGAGGAGUUGUACCAGAACUCUGCCGCCGACAGUCACUUGCGCCAUCGAUGUGGGGUGUCGUGGACGGCGCACCGGAGAUACAUCUCCAGGCACUGGUUGACGCGCUCCGUCUGCCCGUCCGUCUGCGGGUGAUGGGCGGUGGAGUACAACAGCUUGGUGCCUGCCGCGGCGAGCAGUUCGCGUCACAUGGCGCUAGUGAAGAUCUUGUCCCGAUCAGAGACGAUGGAGAGAGGUACGCCAUGCAUCUUGAUGACGUUGUCCCAGAACGCGCGGGUGACGUGGACCGUGGUGAAGGGGUGACGAAGCGGCACAAAGUGCGCGAACUUGGUCAGGCGAUCGACGAUGACCAUGAUGGAAUCGCACCCUUCAGAUUUGGGUAAUCCCUCGACGAAGUCCAUGGUGAGAUCUUGCCAUGGCGCUGUAGGUAUUGGUAGGGGUUGGAGCUUGCCCGCCUGGUGCGUGUUCUCAUGCUUGGCAUGCUGGCAGACAGUGCACUGGCGAACAAAAUCCUCAACGACACGCUUCAGACCCGGCCAGGCAAAGAGUUUGCGCACCCUAUGAUAUGUUGUUGUGGUGCCUGAGUGACCUCCCACGGCGCUGUGGUGGUGAGCAGUGAUGAGUUUGGUCUGAAGUGCUGAGUUGGCGCCGAUCCAGAGUCGACUGCGUUGCCGGAUUACGCCUUGCUGCAGAGUGCGCCCUUGAUCGUCAGUGUUGAUGACAGCCAGCUUGGUGAGUAGUUCUUGAGAGUCGGGGUCGGUCUCGUAGGAAUUGGCGACUUCUUGAAGCCAUUGUGGUUGGCAAAUGGACAGUGCGUCGAGCUCCAGGAGGUGACCGACGCGGGACAGCGCAUCGGCAGCACUGUUGUCGACGCCCUUCUUGUAGCGGAAGGAGAACUGCAGCCCCACCAUCUUGGACAUGGCCUUGCGCUGGAGAUCGGUUACCAGUUGUUGAUCAUCAAGUGCACAGAGACUCUUGUGGUCAGUGACGAUCUCAAAUGGAGCUUGCUGCAGGUACGGCCGCCACUUAUCGAUGGCCAUCAUGACGGCGAGAAAUUCCUUCUCAUAUGUGGAGAGCUUCUGAUUGCGUACUCCAAGAGCCUUGCUGAGGUAGGCCACUAGAUGGCCAUCUUGCAUAAGCACCGCGUCCACGCCGGUGUCGCACGCAUCAGUUUCGAUGGCGAACGGGCGCGUGAAGUUGGGCAGUGCCAACACGGGCGUGCUCACCAUGGUGCGCUUGAGCAUGUCAAAAGCUUGCUACGCCUUGUCGUCCCAGAUAAACCCUUUCUUCGUCAAUAGUUGCGUCAGGGGCUUGGCGAUGAUGCCGUAAUGGGGGACGAAUUUGCGGUAGUAGCCCGUCAACCCCAAGAAGCCGCACAGCUCGGUGGGCGUAGUGGGCACGGGCCAGGACUGCAUGGCGCUGGUCUUGCUGUUGUCCGUAGCAACUCCCUCUUGUGAGAUCACAUGUCCAAGGUAUUCAAUGCUUGUUUGUGCGAACGAACACUUGCUGGCCUUGGUGAAUAGUUGAUGCUCGCGGAGAAGUUGCAGCGUGAGGCGAAGGUGUUCCUCGUGUUCCUGCAGGUCAGUGCUGAAUACCAAGAUGUCAUCCAAAAAUAUGAUGAUGAACUUACGCACAUAGCGGCCGAACACCGUGUUCAUCAAGCACUGGAAAGUUGCCGACCCAUUGCAUAGGCCAAAUGGCAUCACCCGGAAGUGGUAGUGGCCAUGGUGUGUCUUGAAGGCAGUCUUUUCCUCGUCCUCCUCCCGCAUGCGAAUUUGAUGGUACCCAGCACGUAAAUCAAUCUUGGAGAAAUACUUGGCCCCUGCCAAUUCGUCCAGGAGCUCGUCAACCACAGGGAGGGGAAACUUGUUCUUCACUGUUGCAGAGUUGAGUCGUCGAAAAUCGACACAGAAACGCCAACUGCCGUCCUUCUUCUUGACCAGCAGGACCGGGGCAGCGUAAGGGCUCAUGCCGUGCACGAUGACACUGGAGUCGAGCAUGUCAUGUACUUGCCGCUCGAUUUCAUCUUUUUGUGCCGGUGAGUAACGGUAUGGCUUGGUGUUGAUAGGUGUGGUGUCGGGCUCCAAAUGAAUGCCAUGGUCAUACUGACGACGGGGUGGCAAAGUAGUGGGUUCAGCAAACACGUCUUCAAAUUCAGAUAACACCUUCUGAAUAUUUGGGGGAACAGGUUCAGGUUGUGUUUUGUCAGUCCGCUCGACGGUAACCAAGGCUGCUCUCCAAAUGUCAUUCGCCACUUCCAUGCGAUGCAACUCAUAGGCAUCCAGUUCCGAGAUGCGAGGCAGGUCUGAAGAUUUUACUCCUUGCAGGUGGACAGUUUUGCCGUUGACGUCGAAUUGGAUCGUCUUCAGUUGCCAGUGACAGAGCAUGGGGCUGUGCGCUGAGAGCCAGUCGAUGCCAAGCACUCCAUCAUACGCGCUCAGCGGCAGAACCCGGAGAUCAGUAUGGAAAGUGUGCCCUGGGACCUGCCAUGCCAACUGGUGAACAAUUUUGUUACAGUGCAAUCUCUGACCAUUGGCCACUCGAACUGUAACCGCGGGUAACUCCUCUAUUCGAGCAGCGAUCCGGGCGGUGAACGUUUCACUGAUGAAACUAUGUGAGCUCCCCGAAUCCACCAGCAGCAGCAUAACCUGAUCACCCACUUGUGCAUGCAAACGGAUCGUAGCAGGGCCUUCCUCGCCUGAUAUAGCAUGUUGAGACAGAGAGCAACAUUCAGGCUCUUGCGCGACUGGUGCGUCCAGCAGCUGCAAUGCAUGCACCGUGUCAUCAGACAAAAUCUCGCCGAAAUCGCCCACUUCAAUCAUCAAAAUCUGUCCUGUGCGUUUGCACUGAUGCUCGCGGGAGUAUUUGUCACCACAACGGAAACAAAGGCCAUUGGCACGCCUGAAUUCGCACAGUUGACGUUCCCGGGCGUACUCGUCCCCACCCAGACGCGGAGGCGCCGCUGCUCGUGCUUGUGUGGGAACUGGAGCUGCUGGUGGAGGAGGAGGACGGCCCACUGGAACAAUGCGAUGGCGCGGCAGACGCUGUUUCUCCAAUUCCUCUUCCUGGAUGCGCGCAAACACGGCUGCUCAUGUGAUGCUGGAGGGACUUUGCAAGCGCACCCCAAGCCGUAGCUCGUCUUUAAGUCCAAGAAGGAACUGUGAUAUGAAGAAUUGUGUGCUCAAGGUUGGGUCCAGGGACAAGAGGUGAUACAUGCGGGUUUCGAAUUGUUGCCGAUAAUCCUGCACACUCCCUGUCUGUCGUAACUGAACCAAUUCGUGCAUUUGUGUUUCAAAUUCUUCUGGCCCAAAUUCCUCCUCUAUUGCUGCUCUGAAAGUCGCCCAACUGACCCCGGGAUGCUGUUAAGGCAUAUCUCUCUAGAUGUAGUUUUUGGUGAUUGAUGACAACAUGUUUGCGGACUAAUCGUGUGCUUUGAGCAUUUCAGAGAUUCAUCCUUUGGCACGAGACGAUUUCUUUCCCUUCGGAGUGUCAUUCAAGACGGUGUAGCUCUUUCGCUCCUUUUGGUGGACUAGUUUCGUAGGAGUCACCGUACUAUCAAGAGGGGGUCCGCUUUGGUAAGGCUAGGGUGGAAUCAACACGUACACAUCCUCUUUACACCCUCUGAGCCUUUCCGCUUCAUUGGAGAUCUCUUUCCCCUCUCCUUGGGUUGUGUCUGGUCCCAGCGGUAGUACCGCGGUACUUAGUGGUAGUACCGCUUAGGGGUCACAGGCGACAGUACCGCUCCGCAGCGAUAGUACCGCCGGUGGGUCCUCAGCAAUAGUACCGCUGCGGUACCAGGCCCCUACCGCGUCAACUCGAGGGGUAAUUUUUCAUGUCGGAUUGUGCGGUACUUUGCAGCGGUAGUAGAGCGGCAGUGCCGCUCAUGAGCGGUAGUACCGCCCUACCACCGCGACAGUACCGCUCGGGUCUGUCUCUCUCCUGCCCUCCAAACUCCACGGUAGUACCGCCCGGGGGAGCGGUAGUGCCGCUGCCUUCUGCGGUAGUACCGCCCUCUGCGGGCUGUUUUGGGGGGUAACGGUUGGAUUGUUCCCCCCACUAUAUAAGGAGGUCUUCUUCCCCAAAGUUGACCUACCUCUUCCCCCAAAAGCUCCAUUGUUGCUCCAAGCUCCAUUUUCGCCCGAUCUCUCUCCCUAGCCAAUCAAACUUGUUGAUUUGCGCGGGAUUGGUUGAGAAGGCCCCGAUCUACACUUCCACCAAGAGAAAUUUGAUUCCCCCCCACUUAUCCCUAGCGGAUCUUGUUACUCUUGGGUGUUUGAGCACCCUAGAUGGUUGAGGUCACCGCGGAGCCAUAGUCCAUUGUGGUGAAGCUUUGUGGUGUCGUUGGGAGCCUCCAAUUAAGUUGUCGAGAUUGCCCCAACCUUGUUUGUAAAGGUCCGGUCGCCGCCUUCAAGGGCACCAAUAGUGGAAUCACGGCAUCUCGCAUUGUGUGAGGGCGUGAGGAGAAUACGAUGGCCCUAGUGGCUUCUUGGGGAGCAUUGUGCCUCCACACCGCUCCAACGGAGACGUACUUCGCUUCAAAAGGAAGGAACUUCGGUAACACAUCCUCGUCUUCACCGGCUCCACUCUUGGUUAUCUCGUCCCUUUACUUUCGCAAGCCUACUUGUGUUAAAUCCCUUGCUUGCUUGUGUGCUUGUUGUCAUUGCAUCAUAUAGGUUGCUCACUUAGUUGCAUAUCUAGACAACCUACUUUGAUGCAAAGUUUAAAUUGGUAAAGAAAAGCUAAAAAAUGUUAGUUGCCUAUUCACCCCCCCUCUAGUCAACUAUAUCGAUCCUUUCAAUUGGUAUCAGAGCCUCGUCUCUUUAUUAAGGACUUUAUCGUCUGAAGAGUAUGGUUGACGUCGUAGACGGUGUGGAGGAGCACUCCGGUGUGAAUCCGGUCUCGUCUACGGGAGAUGGGGGAACCACGGUCUCUCGUGAGGAAUUCAAUGUGGCGUUGGACACAUUGAAAACCUCCAUGACUACCGAGGUCGAAAGCAUGUUUAAUAAAUUCUUAGAAGGGCUUAAACUUUCCACCGCACCGUUGAAAGUGGGUGAUCCCGCCAACAAGGUGACGGAUGUUACCUCCGACAAAGGGGAAGCUACUAGCGAGAAAGCUCCUUCUUCUAGUGGUAAAAAUGGCACCGGCAUCUUUGCCCAUGUGGAACCUCCACUUGUCUAUGGUGGACCGCUCCCUUCCACUCAUUUGAAUCAUGCCGGCCCGGCCCCUAAGAUUGAGAAGAAUGUAGAUUUUGAUUCUUGGGUCUAUCGUUUUAAGCGUCAUUUAAAUCAUGUGAACACUAACCUUUGGAGAAUCAUUGAAGAAGGUUUCUAUCCGCAUGACCGAAGUAACUUCACUCCUAGAGAAGUUGUGGAUCAUCAAUUCAAUGAGAAUGCUCUCUUCAUCAUCCAAGAAGCAAUCCCACCCGAAGAUCUUCCUCAUCUCCGGCCCUACACCGUGGCCAAAGAUGCUUGGCUCCAAGUUGUUUCCCUCUAUCGGGGAAGCGCAAGCAUUCAACGCUCCAACUAUGAAGUGGUGCAAGAUGAAGCCGAUGAGUUUGCAAUGAAAGAAGAUGGAGAACCUCGUGAGCUUUUUCGGAGAGUAACCAAACUCGCGGUCUCUCUCCGAGAUCAUGGAAGUAAGGACAUGGAUGACAAUUGGAUCAAGCGCAAAUUCCUCAAGGCAAUGAUGCCCUACCACAAAGCCAUGUCCUCCGUCAUUCGGCCAAGGGCGGACUUCCACACCUUGUCCUCAAGUGAAGUGUUGGAUGAGUUCGUUGCUAUGAGCAUCUUGGACAAGACCGCCGACAAUGCGGUUCUUCGCUCUCAAAGAGUAAAGAAGCCCAACCUUGCUCUAAAGGCCAAGGUUAGUAUGGAGGAAGAGGAUGAAGAGGAAGAAGAGGAGAGCAACCUCAAAGAUACGAAGUGUGCCUAUCAUGAACACAUGGCUCUUGCUUCAAGGCAAUUUUGGAGCAAGAAGAACACAAGGCCAAACUUCAACAAGAACAAUUCAAGUGGCGCAAAGGGCAAGCAACGAGUGAGGACUUGCUUCAAUUGUGGCAAUGUGAGCCACUUUGUUGCGGAGUGCCCUUACGAGAAGAGGGAAGACAAUGGUGGCAAGCUCAUUCGAAAGGACAAGGCCAAGUCGUUCCCCAACAAGAGCAACUUCACCAAGAAGACUCCUCCCAAGGCAUUGGUGGUACAAGAAGAGUACAAUGAGGGUGAUGACGAUGAUGAAGAUGGUGAGUCGGUUGCCAUGGCCUCCAUUGCCAUUGCGAUGACCCCACGGAUGUCUCUCUUCGACUCACCCAAUGAGAACAUCACCGCCAAGUGCCUCAUGGCUAAAGCCACCAACAAGGUAACCCCCAACAUCAAAACUACCAUCAUUAAUCAUCCUUCUUCGACGGAUAGCAUUGAUGAACAUGAGGGGACAAAUGUGGAGGAAAAUGAGUUUGAGACCUUUAUGGGUAAACUCAAGGGUAAAUCCAAGAAGCACUUCGUUGCUCUCUUGGAACAACUUGGUGAAGCCAAUGACAUGAUCGAGGCUCACGAAGAUACCAUCUCUAAGAUGGAGGGGCAUAGUCGUGACUAUGCCGAUGAGAUGUCGGAUCUUUCCAAUGCUCUUGACGAAGAGCGUGGUCUUUGUUUGGCUCUUGAGUAGUCAUACAACGAUGAUCAUGCUAAGUUAAAGAAAGAUCUUGAUCAUACUCUUGUUGUGUCUCGUGUGCUAAACUCCGAGAAGGCAAAGCUUGGGGUUGAUCUUGCUAGACUUAAAGAGGAGUUUGACAUUCUCGACAAGGCUCACAAAGUCUUGAAGGGUGUUCAUGCUAGCCUCAAGGAGUCUCAUGAUCAACCCAAGUGAAGCUAACUAAUGAGAAAGCCACCUUUCCUCAUAUGGUGUUAAUUGAUAAUGCAAAUGCUACUAACCCUUCUUGUGAGCAUGUGCAUCUUGUUGAGGAGAAUGCUAAGUUGAAGGAGCAACUUGAGAAAGGCCUUGUGUCAUGCAUACAAGGUGAGAAGAACCUCAAUGACCUUUUGAGCAAUCAAAAGGAUGUUGUGGCCAAGGAGGGGAUUGGGUUCGCACCCAAGCUCAAGAACAAGAAGAAGAAUGACAAGACCAAAAGACCUCCUCCUCUCAAGCAAACUUUUGUGAAGGAGGGAGAGGGUGCUUCCAAGGAGAAGAAGAACAAUGCGAAGGGUGGCGGUGUCAAGAAGGGCAAUGCCACCCCUUCGAACAAAGCCGGCGACUUUAAUCCUUCUUAUGUGCUAUGCCGUGCUAGUGAUGGGCAUGUUUAUACCAAAUUUGUUGGUUCUCCUCAUGAGUAUAUUGAAUGGUCUAUUUGGGUUCCUAAGACCCUUGUUACUAACAUCAAAGGACCCAUUACAAAAUGGGUACCUAAAACCAAGCAUUGAUCUCUUGUAGGUGUUUGCUUCCGGUGGGGGAUCAUGGUUGCUCGAUAGUGGAGCUACAAAUCAUAUGACCGGAAGCAAGGACUUGGUGGUGGACGUGCACAAGAUUCCAUCUAUGCCCACCAAUGUCAAGUGGGGUGAUGCCUCGUCUUCUAAGGUAUUGGGACUCGGCAAAGUUGUCAUUUCUCAUGAUCUCACGAUCGAGAAAGUCAUGCUUGUUGAGUCCCUUGCAUACAAUUUACUUUCUGUUCGUCAACUUGCAGUCAUGACUAUUCAAGAUACACUUGGGUGUAUUUCUUCAAGAGGAAGAGUGAGACCCAACAAACCGUCAUUGACUUUGCAAAUGAAGCCCAACGUCAACACAAUGCAAAGAUCUUGACAAUAAGAAGUGACAACGGCACCGAGUUCAAGAACUACACCUUGGAUGAGUUUCUUAGUGAUGAGGGGAUCAAGCAUCAAUAUUCCGCACCUUACACCCCUCAACAAAACGGUGUUGCGGAGAGGAAGAACCGAACGUUGAUGGAUGCCGCAAGGACCAUGAUGGCGGAGUUCAAGUCUCCAUACAACUUUUGGGCCGAAGCCAUCAACACCGCGUGUCAUGCAUCCAAUCGGCUCUACCUCCGCAAGGGCUUGAACAAGACUCCAUAUGAGAUACUCACCGGUAACAAGCCCAACCUCAAGUACUUUCGGGUGUUCGGGUGUAAGUGUUUCAUUCUCAAGAAAGGUGUUCGGUUGUCUAAAUUUGAGGCUUGAGCUUAUGAGGGCAUAUUUGUUGGUUAUGCUACAAACUCUCAUGCUUACCGUGUCCUCAAUAAAUACACGGGACUUAUUGAGGACACGUGUAACGUGGAGUUUGAUGAGAAUAACGGCUCCCAAGUGGAGCAAAGUGGCACUUGUGAUGUAGGUGAUGAAAUUCCUCCUCAAGCCAUAAGAAGAAUGGGUGUUGGUUUUAUCCUACCCAUUGAGGAACCCCUUGUGGCCGGAGGAGAAGGACAAUGCUCCACUCAAGUGGAGCCAUCACCAACCCAAGGCCCACACGCUUCCGAAGAACAAAGUGAAGGCCCUCAACCUCAUGAACAAGACCAAGGGCAAGAUCAUGCUCAAGACGGUGGUGACACACCAAGUGAUGCCCAAGGUCAAGUUCUCUCCUCCGAGCAAGUUCAAGAUCAAGAACAAGCUCAAGACGUCACUCAAGAUGAUCAAGUGACCGCUCCUCAACUCACCACCGAGGAGGAAUUGGAGCGUCGUGCCGCCAAGAUUGCUUCGAAGCUCUCCACCAAGGGUCAUCUCAUGAAGAAUGUGCUUGGAAGCAUUCAAAAGGGGGUAAGCACUCGUAGACAAUUGGCAAACUAUUGUGAACAUCACGCGUUUAUCUCUUGUGUGGAACCCCAAAAGGUAUAUGAAGCACUCGAAGAUCCGGAUUGGCUCAAUGCCAUGCAUGACGAACUCAACAACUUCGAGUACAACAAGGUGUGGAGAUUAGUGCCAAGGCCAACGGGGAACCACAAUGUCAUUGGAACCAAGUGGAUAUUCAAGAACAAGCAAGAUGCUCAUGGGACCAUCAUCCGCAACAAGGCACGAUUGGUGGCACAAGGCUACUCCCAAGUCGAGGGUAUCGACUACGGUGAAACCUUUGCUCCCGUUGCUCGCCUUGAAUCUAUUCGUUUGUUGAUUGCUUAUGCUUCUCACCACAACUUUAAGUUGCAACAAAUGGAUGUGAAGAGUGCUUUUCUUAAUGGUCCUAUUAAUGAGUUGGUUUAUGUCAAGCAACCCCCCGGGUUCGAGGAUCCCUACUUUCCCGAUCAUGUGUAUCAACUCGAUAAGGCACUCUAUGGCCUUAAACAAGCCCCACGUGCGUGGUAUGACCACCUUACCGAGUUGUUACAAGAUCGUGGGUUUGAAGUUGGGCUAAUCGACCCCACUCUUUUUACUAAGAAGGUCAAAGGGGAGUUGUUUGUGUGCCAACUAUAUGUUGAUGACAUUAUCUUUGGUUCUCCUAACAAAGCUUUCAAUGAGGAAUUUGCCGCACUCAUGACCUCAAAGUUCAAGAUGUCUUCCAUGGGAGAGUUGAAGUUCUUUCUCGGUUUCGAAGUAAAGCAAAGAAGAGAAGGAACCUUCAUCAACCAAGCCAAAUACACUCAAGACAUGCUCAAUAGAUUCAAGCUAAGUGAUGUCAAGCCGGCGUCCACUCCAAUGCCCACCAAGUGCCAACUUGACAUCGAUCCCAAUGGUAAAGCGGUGGAUCAAAAGGUAUAUCGCUCCAUGAUUGGUUCCUUACUUUACCUUUGUGCAUCUAGACCAGAUAUCAUGUUGAGUGUGGGAAUUUGUGCAUGUUUUCAAGCCGCACCUAAGGAAAGCCACUUUGUGGCGGUCAAGCGAAUCUUUCGAUAUUUGGCUCAUACCCCAAACUUUGGCUUAUGGUACCCAAGAGGAGCAAACUUCAAGCUUGUAGGGUAUUCGGACUCCGAUUGGGCGGGAGACAAAGUGGAUAGGAAGUCCACUUCCGGAGGGUGCCAAUUCCUUGGUUGCUCUUUGGUAAGUUGGUCUUCUAAAAAGCAAAGUUGUGUGUCUCUCUCGUCCACCGAAGCGGAGUAUGUGGCGGCCGGCAGUUGUUGUGCACAACUCUUAUGGAUGAGGAAAACUUUAAAGGAUUACGGUGUCAUUUGUGACAAAGUGCCUCUUUGGUGUGACAAUGAAAGUGCCAUCAAGAUUUCUCUCAACCCGGUGCAACACUUCAAGACGAAGCAUAUUGAGAUUCAGUAUCACUUCAUCCGGGAUCAUAUUAGGCGAGGGGAGAUCGAGCUCAACUAUGUCAACACUCAUGAUAACCUUGCAGAUAUUUUCACGAAGCCGUUGGAUGAAGCAAGAUUUCGCGAGUUAAGGCAUGAGCUAAAUAUCAUUGAUUCGAGCAAUGUUGCUUGAACACUUGCACUCCCCACCAUACUCAACUUGUUAUCUUGUUCAGGUGUAGGCAUGGACAUAGGGGGAGUGUUGUUCUCUUAAUGAACUCUCCAUCCCCUUAUUAUGUAUAAAUUGAUCAACUCUUUCACAUUAGCCAUUUUUGAUGGUACUUGUGCUUCAAAGACGAGUUUUGGUCAUGGGCCCAAGGAUAAUUCUUCGCGGUGCCAUACCAAUUGACUCAAACAUAGGUGGCUCCGGUCACCGCCCUCUCCUUGGAGAGGCUGUGUCUUGUGGUUGGUCCUCGUUGUCUCUUGCCUUUCUUUCUCUCUGCCUUGUCUUAGUCUCCUCUUCUUGCCUUUUUGUUUUUCCCUUCUUUUUGAGCUAGUCGUUUGGUGUCUAGUCUUUGGGUCUUGCUGGGCGGUACUACCGCUGGUGGUGCGCGGUACUACCGCUUAUGUUGACAAGCGGUACUACCGCCCACCCGAGCAGUACUACCGUUGGGGGGCGGGACCAGGGGGUUAUGUCGGGGCAGGGGGAGGUUUCUCCUCCCCCAUACCCAUUCGCAUCGCCCCCUCAUCCCUCUUCCUCUCUCCAGCGUCGCCUCGCCGCGGGAGGGUUCCGGCGGGCCGCCGUCUCCGGGCCAUCCCUCUCCAUUCCCUUUGGUGGAGUCGAUCCCCACCUCGUCCUCUUGCCAUGGAUGCCGGUAUUGCCCUCGUUCCUUCUCUCUUUUUGUCUAGUUCUCAGAUCUAGCAUUUUUGGGGCAAUAGUGGUUGCAUCUCUCGUUUUUUGGCUAAAUCCCGGCUUGAGUAGUUUGGAGAAGGUGUCUAGACUGUGUGGAUUAAGUUUUGGUAGGAGUAUUUUUGAAUUUGGCAGUCCGGUAGUGCCGGAUCUGACCACGGCAGUAGGAACCACCGUUUCCCAGUCUUGAGCGGUACUACCGCUCCCACUGGAGCGGUACUACCGCUCGUGCAGUACUGCCGCCUAUGGCCAGCGGUACUACCGCUGCUUGCCCGAUUCCAUCAUUUUCCUACCAUUGUUUGAUCCAUGUUGCUUUGUUUGGAGGCUUAUGCUUUUUCUUUCGUGUUGGCUCUUCUAUUCGUGUGUUUGGUUCCAGGUGAUGAACGUCCUGAGCAGCAAGUCCGCCGUGUCAACCCCGGUCGUGCAACAUCAAAGCGCUACCGCACCUCUGAGUCAGUAGGUGCUUCCUCAAGUGCGGCACCUCCGCCUCAACUCCAGAAGAAACCUGCCAACAGGCCGAAGCCAAGGGGCAAGACUAUCACUGAGUUGUCUGCCAAGGAGUUCUGGGAAAGGCGUCGCCGCAACCCCUAUGCGGAAGACCAAGAACCCAAUUUGGUCAACCGCCCGUUCUGGAACCGCUUUCAGUUUGCCAUCUACUUUGAUGUGAUCAAGGGCAAGAAGAAUCUCUAUGUUGAUGUUCGCUCCAUUGACACGGAUGCCAUGGAAAAGGAUCCUGAGUACUUUGGUGAAGCUCUUCAGAUGUGUGCUCAGCUAAAGAUUCUCAGAAUCAUGCAGUUCAACAAGGACUUUGAUGCAGAUUUGGUGGCUCAAUUCUAUGCUACUGUCCAUCUUAGCACUGAUGUAGAAAGGACUCUGACCUGGAUGACAAAUGGCAAGUUACUGUCUGUCAAGUGGAAGGCCUUCAUGGAGUUACUUGAGGUGGAAGAUCACGGGCUUGAGACUCCUGUCGGCUUUCGCCCUCACCGCAAUGUCAACUCCACUCACAAGCAAGCCCUCUGGCCCUACUGCACUGUGAAGGUUCACCCUGAGACUAAGAAGGAAACCUAUGAGUUGUCUACCUACCUGGACAUCCCUCAUCAUGUCUUUCGAGAGACCCUAUUUCUCGCAUCGGGAAUCUGGAUAUGGUCCACUCCUAUCUCGUGGAUAUGCUUCUCUUCUGCCAGCAUGAGAAGGAAGCAAACACUGGCGAGUCCCUGGACAUUUCUCAUGUUAUGUGGUCUGAACUUCUCACUGCCAUUUCUGAGCGCAAGUGCCCGAUCUAUGGUCCGUUCAUCAUGCUGCUCAUUGAGAAGGCCUGGGCACGUGUCUAUCCCUAGGUGAUGCUGGAAACUGGAGAAUUGUUUUCUCAUGAGAUCAAGCGUCUGAGCAAGAAGGACAGUUGGGGCACCCCAGCCCCUAAAUCCGGGGGUCCAUCUACUGCUGCUAACAUGGGGACCGAGGACGGGGCUGAGGCCGAUGAUGACGAUGAGGAUUAUGAGAUUUCUAGGACAGAGCCCUCUUGGGCAAAGAAGAUCAAGCGCAAGAUGAAGAAGCUCUUCUGCAUGGAGUCUCGUGGUCAGUACGUGACUUAUGUGGCUGAGAAGAAGGCCAGGGGGCGUCACAAGGAGCUCAUGCGUCAGCUGGGUGCGACCGUUGUCAGUGGGUCUGAGGGCCAGAUCACUGAGGAAGAGGAGUGGAUUCAGCAGCACUGUCCGUGGACCGAUUCCGACACCGAGUAGUUUCUGACUGAGGAUGGCAAUGCAGAUGACCCUGCCAGGAUGUGAUGGGAGAGCUCCUCAGUUUGCCUUCACCUGGAGCCGUAGCGUCGCUCUUUGCCCUUUUGGUGUCUUGAUGCCAAAGGGGGAGAGAGCUUAGGGAUUUGUGCUUUAUGGUGUCGUCGUUUCGCCGUUUUCUUUGUUGUGCCGUUGUGUUUUCUCGCCAUUUGCCUUGUUUGGUUGUGUGCCAGUGAGACCUAAGUUCCAGACAUAUGGUGUAAGACAUAUGCGACCUUAUCUUUAUCUAUGCCUUUCUAGUACUUUGGUAUCUUAUGAGUUGCUUGUCUAUCCUGUUAUAUUACCUGCUCUCAUGUAUCCUAUGCUUAGGUUGUUGGACUAUAAAAUAUAGGGGGAGUGUUGAUUCUAAUGUAUGUGUCCUACAUUCCAAAGGCACUUCUAACUAGGUGCACACAUUCAGGGGGAGCCCGUCUAUAUUUUGUAGUUCUAAGUAUCUUUACUUUCAUGGUAUAUCCUUGUGCAAAUCCCUGGUUGUCAUCAAACCACCAAAAAGGGGGAGAUUGUUAAGGCAUAUCUCUCUAGAUGUAGUUUUUGGUGAUUGAUGAUAACAUGUUUGCGGACUAAUCGUGUGCUUUGAGCAUUUCAGAGAUUCAUCCUUUGGCACGAGAAGAUUUCUUUCCCUUCGGCGUGUCAUUCAAGACGGUGUAGCUCUUUCGCUCCUUUUGGUGGACUAGUUUCGUAGGAGUCACCGUACUAUCAAGAGGGGGUCCGCUUUGGUAAGGCUAGGGUGGAAUCAACACGUACACAUCCUCUUUACACCCUCUGAGCCUUUCCGCUUCAUUGGAGAUCUCUUUCCCCUCUCUUUGGGCUGUGUCUGGUCCCAGCGGUAGUACCGCGGUACCCACGGUAGUACCGCUUAAGGGUCACAGGCGGCAGUACCGCUCCGCAGCGGUAGUACCGCCGGUGGGUCCUCAGCAGUAGUACCGCUGUGGUACCAGGCCCCUACCGCAUCGACUCAAGGGGUCAUUUUUCGUGUCGGAUUGUGCGGUACUUUGCAGCGGCAGUAGAGUGGCAGUGCCGCUCAUGAGCGGUAGUACCGCCCUACCACCGCGGCAAUACCGCUCGGGUCUGUCUCUCUCCUGUCCUCCAAACUCCACGGUAGUACCGCCCGGGGGAGCGGUAGUACCGCUGUUCUCAGCGGUAGUGCCGCUGCCUUCUGCGGUAGUACCGCCCUCUGCGGGGCUGUUUUGGGGGGUAACGGUUGGAUUGUUCCCCCCACUAUAUAAGGAGGUCUUCUUCCCCAAAGUUGACCUACCUCUUCCCCCAAAAGCUCCAUUGUUGCUCCAAGCUCCAUUUUUGCCCGAUCUCUCUCCCUAGCCAAUCAAACUUGUUAAUUUGCUCGGGAUUGGUUGAGAAGGCCCCGAUCUACACUUCCACCAAGAGAAAUUUGAUUCCCCCCCACUUAUCCCUAGCGGAUCUUGUUACUCUUGGGUGUUUGAGCACCCUAGACGGUUGAGGUCACCGCGGAGCCAUAGUCCAUUGUGGUGAAGCUUUGUGGUGUCGUUGGGAGCCUCCAAUUAAGUUGUGGAGAUUGCCCCAACCUUGUUUGUAAAGGUCCAGUCGCCGCCUUCAAGGGCACCAAUAGUGGAAUCACGGCAUCUCACAUUGUGUGAGGGCGUGAGGAGAAUACGGUGACCCUAGUGGCUUAUUGGGGAGCAUUGUGCCUCCACACCGCUCCAACGGAGACGUACUUCCCUUCAAAAGGAAGGAACUUCGGUAACACAUCCUCGUCUUCACCGGCUCCACUCUUGGUUAUCUUGUCCCUUUACUUUCGCAAGCUUACUUGUGUUAAAUCCCUUGCUUGCUUGUGUGCUUGUUGUCAUUGCAUCAUAUAGGUUGCUCACUUAGUUGCAUAUCUAGACAACCUACUUUGAUGCAAAGUUUAAAUUGGUAAAGAAAAGCUAAAAAUUGUUAGUUGCCUAUUCACCCCCCUCUAGUCAAGUAUAUCGAUCCUUUCAGAUGCUUCUAUCGGUAUGCUUGCAGCCACAUCGCCGCCAGGCCUUCCAUCUACAGCGCGGCGGUGGUCACCCAAUUGUGCGGCGGCAUGCGGUACAACUCGAAGUAGGACACGCACCGCUCCAGCCAGAUGCAUGGUGUGGUGCCGUCGAACCGAGGGAAAUCAUGGUUGGGCGGCGUUGUGUAGUAGUCACCCUGGCGCUCGCGCUCGGUGGGCGACGGUGCCCCGGCGAUCAGCAGCGGGGGGCCGUGGUUGACGAGCCGCGCGAACGGAAGCUGCGCCACACCGUCCGCGUAGAGGGGUGUCGGUGUGGGGCGGAUCGGUGGUGGAGGUGGUGGUGGUGCACGCGCGGAGGAGUCCGCGGUCGCUGAAGGAGACGAGGUGACCGCGUCGGUCGUGGCGGCUGGAUCGGGCGCUGGCGGGGUCUUACGGGCCUCAUCCACGUCGGCCUGGGUGAGGUCGAUAUGCUUGGUGAGGUGCUUGAGUUCGUUGGAGACUUGGUUGUUGUAGGAGAGCUGUGCUUGGUGGCGCUAGUCGGCAGUUUUCUGGUUCGCGUCGAGACGGCGGAUGACCGACUCGAGCAGACUCUGCAGCUUGUCGGUCGUCUCCGACAUGGCGUCGAGCACCUGACAAGUCUGGGCCGAGGAUUUGGAGGGUGGCGCCGUGGUCUUGCUCCAAUUCAACCGAACCCCGAGUAGGAUUUUGUGCGAACUCGCCGGAGCGGCUCGCACCUAACCCGGUGGAUGUUACCGGCGAUCGAGAGGGUGUGAGAUCAGCAACAACGGCGAGGUAGUGGGAUUUUUUUGGCUCUAAAUACCAGAUUGUCACAACCCAGAGAAGAGGGGAGAUCGAGAUGAGAAAGAGGAUCGAGAUGCAGAGUAGGUGAGAGGAGAGCUUGGAGAAGGGGAAAGGAGAAUCGAGAUCUUUUCCAUUUCAUGCUCAGCGUCUCAUCCACGGUACACUAUGUAGCCGCCCACUUGGGCCCUCUCAUACCCACACACGACCUCAGGCCCGAUACACACUUGCUUACAUGGCCUCUGGCCCAACACGUCUAGCUAGCUCCGUUGCAGUUCAGUUAACUGAACUGCACUUUCAGUCCGCUGCGGAUGUAUCAUGUGCAGGCGUGACAUUAGAGCAGAUCUUUAGGGUUCGGGCGCAAGAUAUUCCAGGCACCAGUCGGCCUUGGAGGCAGCUCUUCCUGAGUGAUGACGCUAGGGCCUUUCCAGUCAGGCAUAAUUCUAUACAGAAUUUGGCAUCUGCAACACAGAUUGCAGAUAUGAUUCAACGCUCUGCUUCAGCAACAGCGAAUAUUCGACACAUUCAAGCCUUGUUGAAGGCAGCUAUGGUGCAUAGUUCAGCUGUCACAUAGUCCGACAAUCAGAUUCUCUCCAAGUCAGCUCGGGUUGAAACCAUCUAGUCGUCCCACAACCCGCAUGGAGCUCGGAGGCCAGUAGCAUCUCCACUUCAUCGAGGAGAAGCUCGCCCACUCACUCUUGAUGCACCGCCAUGUUGUGGGGACCUGACUCUACCACCACGUGAUGAUCAGUAUUAUGGAUGAGUAACUCCUCCUUGACGCAAUCCAUAUUCGCCUCGGUAAUAUGAUGAUGCGUUUGUAACACCCCGGACACACCCGCUGGUUACUGGUUGUUACUGCCGGCGAGAUCUAGACUGGCCCCAUAGAUCAAUACUAGUCUUUCCUGCGUACUAUGUCCUCACUUGUGUAGCAUCUCCACCUCAUCGAGGCGAAGCUCGCCCACUCAGGCGCGAUGCACCACCAUGUUGUGGGACUUGACUCUUUCAGGACGUGAUGAUCGGUAUUAUGUCCGAGUGACUCCUCGACGCAAUCCAUAUUUGCCUCGGCAAUAUGAUGACGUGCCUGUAACACCCCGGACACACCCGUCGAUUACUAGUCGUUACUACUGAUGCGAUCUAGACUGGCCGCACAAAUCAACACUAGCUUUCCUGCGCACUUUGUCCUCACACGCCCGCACCUGGGACCAACUUCACAGUCGGUCACCCAUCUUGAAAUUACUCCAAGCUGAGCACACUUAACUUUGGAGUUCUUUUUUAAAUGAGCUCCUGGAAAAGAAGGGAUUCUUUAUUGAUAUGAGCAGUCUAUCAUCCCUAUUAAGCCGGGUUCUCACAGUGCCCUACCAUGGUGAUGAUCGGAGGCGGGAACUUUCACCAUUUCAGCGCGAUGAUCAGUAUCGUCGCAGGUGUGGAGAUUCUCUGUGUGGUCGUGGCGAUCGCCCUUAGGAUGAUCGUGAUCACUUGGUAUUGUCCCGAAUGAAUCAAGGUGGGGAAGAUAGGGGGGAGUUUGAAUAUGUAAGGGGUUAUCCGAGUGAAUGUGGUUCCUAGGGUCCUCUCUAUUUCAGUCGGUACAUUUGUUCAACUACAAUCCCGACACAAUUCUAGAUGGCCCAAGGAAAAAGUAAGUUCAGUGGAAAUUCCAAACCAGAAACAUGGCAUGAUGAUUACCGCAUUGCGGUCCAGAUUGGUGGCAACAAUGAUGAAGUGGCCAUGAAAUACUUGCGUUGAGAUUGAAGGGAUCUGCCUCGGGUGGCGUCGGACCACCCGAGGGGCUUGGUCGGUGGCGGCCCCAUCGCGUAGAACGUGCGUAGGGUGAGUUUUUGAUUUCCGCAUGUUUCCACUGUUGAAAAGAUCAUGUUGAUGGUGAAUGAUUGGGAGGGAUGGUGGGUUGACGAAGAUCAAGCUUUUUUUAUGGUGUAGCACCCCGGCUCAGAGCAACCUGUUUACCUUGCAAUGCCAGCCCAGAGAUCUAGUCUUCUGGAAACACACAACAACUUGGUACAGAAAACAACCACUUUAUUGAUGCUAUCGGAAACAUAGGUUUGAUAUUACAUCAGAUAGCAAGGCCAAGCGGCACGCACGGUGCGGCUGAACAGUAUGUAUAUUAUUUAAUGAGCAUGAAGGGUGCCUCGAUCACGACAACUACGCGGCAGUGGAACAAUGACGAAGCGGAACUCCAUAGCACAGGGACACCGAUGUGGACACGACCUAGACAUGGAAAGCCCUCCGAUCCGGCAAGACUUUCCUGAAAGCUGGCAUGACACGCCAGGUCAGUACAUUGAAUGUACUUGCAAGCUCACAACAAGUAAAAUCAUAAUGACAAACAAUAACAUGACAAUUAAGCAGGUUAAAUGCAAGGCUACAAUAUACUACUCAUGAAGUGAACAUGCUUGUGCACCGAGUCCCUCGGACUCCCUUACCAUACGGGUUACCUUGUAACUGUUGGAAAUAUGCCCUAGAGGCAAUAAUAAAUGGUUAUUAUUAUAUUUCUUUGUUCAUGGUAAUUGUCUGUUAUUCAUGCUAUAAUUGUAUUGUCCGGAAAUCGUAAUACAUGUGUGAAUACAUAGACCACAACGUGUCCCUAGUAAGCCUCUAGUUGACUAGCUCGUUGAUCAACUGAUAGUCAUGGUUUCCUGACUAUGGACAUUGGAUGUCAUUGAUAACGGGAUCACAUCAUUAGGAGAAUGAUGUGAUGGACAAGACCCAAUCCUAAGCAUAGCAUAAAAGAUCGUGUAGUUUCGUUUGCUAGAGCUUUUCCAAUGUCAAGUAUCUUUUCCUUAGACCAUGAGAUCGUGCAACUCCCGGAUAACGUAGGAGUGCUUUGGGUGUGCCAAACGUCACAACGUAACUGGGUGACUAUAAAGGUGCACUACGGGUAUCUCCGAAAGUGUCUGUUGGGUUGGCACGGAUCGAGACUGGGAUUUGUCACUCCGUGUGACGGAGAGGUAUCUCUGGGCCCACUCGGUAAUGCAUCAUCAUAAUGAGCUCUAUGUGACUAAGGCGUUAGUCACGGGAUCAUGCAUUGCGGUACGAGUAAAGAGACUUGCCGGUAACGAGAUUGAACAAGGUAUUGGGAUACCGACGAUCGAAUCUCGGGCAAGUAACAUACCGAUUGACAAAGGGAAUUGUAUACGGGAUUGAUUGAAUCCUCGACAUCGUGGUUCAUCUGAUGAGAUCAUCGUGGAACAUGUGGGAGCCAACAUGGGUAUCCAGAUCCCGCUGUUGGUUAUUGACCGGAGAGGCGUCUCGGUCAUGUCUGCAUGUCUCCCGAACCCGUAGGGUCUACACACUUAAGGUUCGGUGACGCUAGGGUUGUAGAGAUAUGUGUAUGCGGAAACCCGAAAGUUGUUCGGAGUCCCGGAUGAGAUCCCGGACGUCACGAGAGGUUCCGGAAUGGUCCGGAGGUGAAGAAUUAUAUAUAGGAAGUCAAGUUUCGGCCACCGGGAAAGUUUCGGGGGUUACCGGUAUUGUACCGGGACCACCGGAAGGGUCCCGGGGGUCCACCGGGUGGGGCCACCUAUCCCGGAGGGCCCCGUGGGCUGAAGUGGGAAGGGAACCAGCCCCUAGUGGGCUGGGCGCCCCCCAUGGGCCUUUCCCCCUGCGCCUAGGGUUGCAAACCCUAGGGUGGGGGGUUUCCCACUUGCCUUGUGGGGCAAGGCACCCCCCUGGCCGCCGCCCCUUGCCCUAGAUGGGCUUUGGCCACCGCCCCCCCUCCCAGGGGGCCUAUAUAAAGGGGGGGGGGGGAGGGAGGGCAGAAACACAACAGCCUUGGGCGCCUCCCUCUCCCCCUGCUACACCUCUCCGUCUCGCAGAAGCUCGGCGAAGCCCUGCCGAGACCCGCUACAUCCACCACCACGCCGUCGUGCUGCUGGAUCUCCAUCAACCUCUCCUUCCCCCUUUCUGGAUCAAGAAGGAGGAGACGUCGCUGCACCGUACGUGUGUUGAACGCGGAGGUGCCGUCCGUUCGGCACUCGGUCAUCGGUGAUUUGGAUCACGGCGAGUACGACUCCGUCAUCCACGUUCAUUGGAACGCUUCCGCUCGCGAUCUACAAGGGUAUGUAGAUGCACUCCUUUCCCCUCGUUGCUAGUACACUCCAUAGAUGCAUCUUGGUGAGCGUAGGAAAAUUUUAAAAUUAUGCUACAAUUCCCAACAGUGGAAUCAUGAGCCAGGCCUAUGCGUAGUUACUAUGCACGAGUAGAACACAAAGCAGUUGUGGGCGUUGAGUUUGCCAAUUCUUCUUGCCGCUACUAGUCUUUUCUUGUUUCGGCGGUAUUGUAGGAUGAAGCGGCCCGGACCGACCUUACACGUACGCUUACGUGAGACAGGUUCCACCGACUGACAUGCACUAGUUGCAUAAGGUGGCUAGCGGGUGUCUGUCUCUCCUACUUUAGUCGGAACUGAUUCGAUGAAAAGGGUCCUUAUGAAGGGUAAAUAGAAAUUGGCAAAUCACGUUGUGGUCAUACGUAGGUAAGAAACGUUCUUGCUAGAAACCUACAAACCACGUAAAAACUUGCAACAACAAUUAGAGGACGUCUAACUUGUUUUUGCAGCAAGUGCUAUGUGAUGUGAUAUGGCCAGAAGAUGUGAUGAAUGAUAUAUGUGAUGUAUGAGAUGAUCAUAUUCUUGUAAUAGGAAUCACGACUUGCAUGUCGAUGAGUAUGACAACCGGCAGGAGCCAUAGGAGUUGUCUUUGUUAUUUUGUAUGACCUGCGUGUCAUUGAAUAACGCCAUGUAAUUACUUUACUUUGUUGCUAAACGCGUUAGCCAUAGAAGUAGAAGUAAUCAUUGGCGUGACGACUUCAUGAAGACACAAUGAUGGAGAUCAUGGUGUCAUGCCGGUGACGAAGAUGAUCAUGGUGCCCCGAAGAUGGAGAUCAAAGGAGCAUAAUGAUAUUGGCCAUAUCAUGUCACUAUUUGAUUACAUGUGAUGUUUAUCAUGUUUUUGCAUCUUAUUUGCUUAGAACGACGGUAGUAAGUAAGAUGAUCCCUUAUAAUAAUUUCAAGAAAGUGUUCACCCUAACUGUGCACCGUUGCAAAGGUUCGUUGUUUCGAAGCACCACGUGAUGAUCGGGUGUGAUAGAUUCUAACGUUCGAAUACAACGGGUGUUGACGAGCCUAGCAUGUACAGACAUGGCCUCGGAACACACGCAAUACACUUAGGUUGACUUGACGAGCCUAGCAUGUACAGACAUGGCCUCGGAACACGGAGGACCGAAAGGUCGAGCAUGAGUCGUAUAGAAGAUACGAUCAACAUGGAGAUGUUCACCGAUCUUGACUAGUCCGUCUCACGUGAUGAUCGGACACGGCCUAGUUAAACUCGGAUCAUGUUUCACUUAGAUGACUAGAGGGAUGUCUGUCUGAGUGGGAGUUCAUUGAAUAAUUUGAUUAGAUGAACUUAAUUAUCAUGAACUUAGUCUAAAAUCUUUACACUAUGUCUUGUAGAUCAAAUGGCCAACGUUGUCCUCAAUUUCAACGCGUUCCUAGAGAAAACCAAGCUGAAAGAUGAUGACAGCAACUAUACGGACUGGGUCCGGAACCUGAGGCUCAUCCUCAUAGUAGCCAAGAAAGAUUAUGUCUUAGAAGCACCGCUAGGUGAUGCACCAAUCCCAGAGAACCAAGACGUUAUGAACGCUUGGCAGCAGCGUGCUGAUGAUUACUCCCUCGUUCAGUGCGGCAUGCUUUACAGCUUAGAACCGGGUCUCCAAAAGCGUUUUGAGAAACAUGGAGCAUAUGAGAUGUUCGAGGAGCUGAAAUUGGUUUUCCAAGCUCAUGCCCGGGUCGAGAGAUAUGAUGUCUCCGACAAGUUCUUCAGCUGUAAAAUGGAGGAGAAUAGUUCUGUAAGUGAGCACAUACUCAGAAUGUCUGGGUUGCACAACCGCUUGACUCAGCUGGGAGUUAAUCUCCCGGAUGACGCGGUCAUUGACAGAAUCCUUCAGUCGCUUCCACCUAGCUUCAAGAGCUUUGUGAUGAACUACAAUAUGCAGGGGAUGGAAAAGACCAUUCCUGAGGUAUAUUCGAUGCUGAAAUCAGCGGAGGUAGAAAUCAGAAAAGAACAUCAAGUGUUGAUGGUGAAUAAAACCACUAAGUUCAAGAAGGGCAAGGGUAAGAAGAACUUCAAGAAGGACGGCAAGGGAGUUGCCGCGCCCGGUAAGCCAGUUGCCGGGAAGAAGUCAAAGAAUGGACCCAAGCCUGAGACUGAGUGCUUUUAUUGCAAGGGAAGUGGUCACUGGAAGCGAAACUGCCCCAAAUACUUAGCGGACAAGAAGAAGGCCGGUAACACCAAAGGUAUAUGUGAUAUACAUGUAAUUGAUGUGUACCUUACCAGUACUCGUAGUAGCUCCUGGGUAUUUGAUACCGGUGCGGUUGCUCAUAUUUGUAACUCAAAACAGGAACUACGGAAUAAAUGGAGACUGGCGAAGGACGAGGUGACGAUGCGCGUCGGGAAUGGUUCCAAGGUCGAUGUGAUCGCCAUCGGCACGCUACCUCUGCAUCUCCCUACGGGAUUAGUUUUAAACCUCAAUAAUUGUUAUUUAGUGCCAGCUUUGAGCAUGAACAUUGUAUCUGGAUCUCGUUUAAUUCGAGAUGGCUACUCAUUUAAAUCCGAGAAUAAUGGUUGUUCUAUUUAUUUGAGAGAUAUGUUUUAUGGUCAUGCCCCGCUGGUCAAUGGUUUAUUUUUGAUGAAUCUCGAACGUGAUGUUACACAUGUUCAUAGUGUGAAUACGAAAAGAUGUAAAGUUGAUAACGAUAGUCCCACAUACUUGUGGCACUGCCGCCUUGGUCACAUUGGUGUCAAGCGCAUGAAGAAGCUCCAUGCAGAUGGACUUUUGGAGUCUCUUGAUUACGAAUCAUUUGACACGUGCGAACCAUGCCUCAUGGGUAAGAUGACCAAGACUCCGUUCUCCGGAACAAUGGAGCGAGCAACCAACUUAUUGGAAAUCAUACAUACCGAUGUGUGUGGUCCAAUGAGUGUCGAGGCUCGCGGAGGAUAUCGUUAUGUUCUCACUCUCACUGAUGAUUUAAGUAGAUAUGGGUAUGUCUACCUAAUGAAACACAAGUCUGAAACCUUUGAAAAGUUCAAGGAAUUUCAGAGUGAGGUUGAGAAUCAACGUGACAGGAGAAUAAAAUUCUUACGAUCAGAUCAUGGUGGAGAAUAUUUAAGUCACGAGUUUGGUGCACACUUAAGGAAAUGUGGAAUAGUUUCACAACUCACGCCGCCUGGAACACCUCAGAGGAAUGGUGUGUCCGAACGUCGUAAUCGCACUCUAUUGGAUAUGGUGCGAUCUAUGAUGUCUCUUACCGAUUUACCGCUCUCAUUUUGGGGUUAUGCUUUAGAGACUGCCGCAUUCACUUUAAAUAGGGCUCCGUCGAAAUCCGUUGAGACGACACCGUAUGAAUUAUGGUUUGGGAAGAAACCUAAGCUGUCGUUUCUAAAAGUUUGGGGAUGCGAUGCUUAUGUCAAGAAACUUCAACCUGAAAAGCUCGAACCCAAAUCGGAAAAAUGCGUCUUCAUAGGAUACCCUAAGGAAACUAUUGGGUAUACCUUCUACCUCAGAUCCGAAGGCAAGAUCUUCGUUGCCAAGAACGGGUCCUUUCUGGAGAAGGAGUUUCUCUCGAAAGAAUUGAGUGGGAGGAAAGUGGAACUUGAUGAGGUGAUAGUCACCCCUCCCGAACCGGAAAGUAGCGCAGCGCGGGAAAUUGUUCCUGUGGUGCCUACACCGACUGGGGAGGAAGUUAAUGAUGAUGAUCAUGAUGCUUCGGAUCAAGUUACUACUGAACUUCGUAGGUCCACAAGGACACGUUCCGCACCAGAGUGGUACGGCAACCCUGUCCUGGAAAUCAUGUUGUUAGACAACGGUGAACCUUCGAACUAUGAAGAAGCGAUGGCGGGACCGGAUUCCGACAAAUGGCUAGAAGCCAUGAAAUCCGAGAUAGGAUCCAUGUAUGAAAACGAAGUAUGGACUUUGACUGACUUGCCCGAUGAGCGGCGAGCCAUAGAAAACAAAUGGAUCUUUAAGAAGAAGACAGACGCGGAUGGUAAUGUGACCAUCUACAAAGCUCGACUUGUCGCUAAGGGUUAUCGACAAGUUCAAGGGGUUGACUACGAUGAGACUUUCUCACCCGUAGCGAAGCUGAAGUCCGUCCGAAUCAUGUUAGCAAUUGCCGCAUACUAUGAUUAUGAGAUAUGGCAGAUGGACGUCAAAACGGCAUUCCUUAACGGCUUCCUUAAGGAAGAGUUGUAUAUGAUGCAGCCGGAAGGUUUUGUCGAUCCUAAGAAUGCUAACAAAGUAUGAAAGCUCCAGCGCUCAAUCUAUGGGCUGGUGCAAGCAUCUCGGAGUUGGAACAUUCGCUUUGAUGAGAUGAUCAAAGCGUUUGGGUUUACACAGACUUAUGGAGAAGCCUGUGUUUACAAGAAAGUGAGUGGGAGCUCUGUAGCAUUUCUCAUAUUAUAUGUGGAUGACAUACUGUUGAUGGGAAAUGAUAUAGAAUUCUUGGAGAGUAUAAAGGCCUAUUUGAAUAUGUGUUUUUCAAUGAAGGACCUUGGAGAAGCUGCUUAUAUAUUAGGCAUCAAGAUCUAUAGAGAUAGAUCAAGACGCCUCAUUGGUCUUUCACAGAGUACAUACCUUGACAAGAUAUUGAAGAAGUUCAGUAUGGAUCAGUCCAAGAAGGGGUUCUUGCCUGUAUUGCAAGGUGUGCAAUUGAGCACGGCUCAAUGCCCGACCAUGGCAGAAGGUAUAGAAAAGAUGAGUGUCAUCCCCUAUGCCUCGGCCAUAGGGUCUAUUAUGUAUGCCAUGCUGUGUACCAGACCUGAUGUAAACCUUGCCGUAAGUUUGGUAGGAAGGUACCAAAGUAAUCCCGGCAUGGAACACUGGACAGCGGUCAAGAAUAUCCUGAAGUACCUGAAGAGGACUAAGGAUAUGUUUCUCGUUUAUGGAGGUGACGAAGAGCUCGUCGUAAAGGGUUACGUCGACGCUAGCUUCGACACAGAUCUGGAUGACUCGAAGUCACAAACCGGAUACGUGUAUAUUUUGAAUGGAGGAGCAGUAAGCUGGUGCAGUUGCAAGCAAAGCGUCGUGGCGGGAUCUACAUGUGAAGCGGAGUACAUGGCAGCCUCGGAGGCAGCACAGGAAGCAGUCUGGAUGAAGGAGUUCAUUACCGACCUAGGGGUGAUUCCCAAUGCGUCGGGCCCGAUGGCUCUCUUCUGUGACAACACUGGAGCUAUUGCCCUUGCGAAGGAGCCCAGGUUUCACAGGAAGACCAGGCAUAUCAAGCGUCGCUUCAACUCCAUUCGUGAAAGUGUUCAAAAUGGAGACAUAGAUAUUUGUAAAGUACAUACGACCUGAAUGUAGCAGAUCCGUUGACUAAACCUCUCCCUAGGGCAAAACAUGAUCAACACCAGGACGCAAUGGGUGUUCGAUUCAUCACAAUGUAACUAGAUUAUUGACUCUAGUGCAAGUGGGAGAUUGUUGGAAAUAUGCCCUAGAGGCAAUAAUAAAUGGUUAUUAUUAUAUUUCUUUGUUCAUGGUAAUUGUCUGUUAUUCAUGCUAUAAUUGUAUUGUCCGGAAAUCGUAAUACAUGUGUGAAUACAUAGACCACAACGUGUCCCUAGUAAGCCUCUAGUUGACUAGCUCGUUGAUCAACUGAUAGUCAUGGUUUCCUGACUAUGGACAUUGGAUGUCAUUGAUAACGGGAUCACAUCAUUAGGAGAAUGAUGUGAUGGACAAGACCCAAUCCUAAGCAUAGCAUAAAAGAUCGUGUAGUUUCGUUUGCUAGAGCUUUUCCAAUGUCAAGUAUCUUUUCCUUAGACCAUGAGAUCGUGCAACUCCCGGAUAACGUAGGAGUGCUUUGGGUGUGCCAAACGUCACAACGUAACUGGCUGACUAUAAAGGUGCACUACGGGUAUCUCCGAAAGUGUCUGUUGGGUUGGCACGGAUCGAGACUGGGAUUUGUCACUCCGUGUGACGGAGAGGUAUCUCUGGGCCCACUCGGUAAUGCAUCAUCAUAAUGAGCUCUAUGUGACUAAGGCGUUAGUCACGGGAUCAUGCAUUGCGGUACGAGUAAAGAGACUUGCCGGUAACGAGAUUGAACAAGGUAUUGGGAUACCGACGAUCGAAUCUCGGGCAAGUAACAUACCGAUUGACAAAGGGAAUUGUAUACGGGAUUGAUUGAAUCCUCGACAUCGUGGUUCAUCUGAUGAGAUCAUCGUGGAACAUGUGGGAGCCAACAUGGGUAUCCAGAUCCCGCUGUUGGUUAUUGACCGGAGAGGCGUCUCGGUCAUGUCUGCAUGUCUCCCGAACCCGUAGGGUCUACACACUUAAGGUUCGGUGACGCUAGGGUUGUAGAGAUAUGUGUAUGCGGAAACCCGAAAGUUGUUCGGAGUCCCGGAUGAGAUCCCGGACGUCACGAGAGGUUCCGGAAUGGUCCGGAGGUGAAGAAUUAUAUAUAGGAAGUCAAGUUUCGGCCACCGGGAAAGUUUCGGGGGUUACCGGUAUUGUACUGGGACCACCGGAAGGGUCCCGGGGGUCCACCGGGUGGGGCCACCUAUCUCGGAGGGCCCCGUGGGCUGAAGUGGGAAGGGAACCAGCCCCUAGUGGGCUGGGCGCCCCCCCAUGGGCCUUUCCCCCUGCGCCUAGGGUUGCAAACCCUAGGGUGGGGGGUUUCCCACUUGCCUUGGGGGGCAAGGCACCCCCCUGGCCGCCGCCCCUUGCCCUAGAUGGGCUUUGGCCGCCGCCCCCCCUCCCAGGGGGCCUAUAUAAAGGGGGGGGAGGGAGGGCAGCAACACAACAGCCUUGGGCGCCUCCCUCUCCCCCUGCUACACCUCUCUGUCUCGCAGAAGCUCGGCGAAGCCCUGCCGAGACCCGCUACAUCCACCACCACGCCGUCGUGCUGCUGGAUCUCCAUCAACCUCUCCUUCCCCCUUGCUGGAUCAAGAAGGAGGAGACGUCGCUGCACCGUACGUGUGUUGAACGCGGAGGUGCCGUCCGUUCGGCACUCGGUCAUCGGUGAUUUGGAUCACGACGAGUACGACUCCGUCAUCCACGUUCAUUGGAACGCUUCCGCUCGUGAUCUACAAGGGUAUGUAGAUGCACUCCUUUCCCCUCGUUGCUAGUACACUCCAUAGAUCCAUCUUGGUGAGUGUAGGAAAAUUUUAAAAUUAUGCUACGAUUCCCAACAGUAACCAACAUCAUCAAUACGGUGAUCACUCCCGGAUCACAAAGGAAACCAACUCUUUGGUUCCAACAACAACCAUCUUCAUGGUUUCAACAAUCUCAUCCCAUAACUAGUGCCAACCAUAUAACUUCAGUGUGCAAGAUUAAAUUAUUUAUGUUGAUCCAUGGUGUGACCUACUACGAACUGUGUCCAUAACCGAGGAUGUGCCUAUCGAUAGAUUUAACACACACUCUGCAGAGGUUAGCACACUGUACCCACACCACGAAAUCCAUGGCCUCGAACUCCCAUUCGGGUGGACCAACGGCAUUCCGACAGAACCAACCCAUUGCCAUGACACUCUCCCGGCCACUCCGAUCAACUCCCCUUUGGGCUAAAUCUUGGGUGGCCCCGAUGUCAACUCAUGACAUCCAACAACCAUCAUCAUGGCAAAACAUAAAGGUCCCAAAUGGGGACAAGGUACGAUAACAACAACGGGCACACAAGGUUAUGUCUGCUUACCAGGCCAGGGUACCGCAUGCCCAUAACCUUCCCUCGUUGGAGGCACCGACCAGAGGCAUGACAACAAACCGAAUAAGGGCCUUCCCAUAAAGGCAAAUGUGGUUGCACUGGGAAGCUCGAUUCGGUGGCACCAUGACUCGAUCAACAUUAUGUUCAAGUUGAGUUAUCAUCAGGUUUAACUUGAAAUAAAAGAACUCGAGUCAUAGUAUGCCAUGAACAUGCAACUAUAUCCACAUAUCACUGAAAUGAAACGGAUCAACAUCAUAGAAUCAUUAAGCAUGCACUACUAAUCAUUUAGAGACACUGGUUUUACUCAAUCAUUUUUAGUUAUGACAUUAGCAUGGUGAAAAUAAUAAACCAUUAUAUGAGAAUAAUACCGAUCAUUACCAACCAUAGCCAUGCUAUCAGAAUAACACUACUGCAUCAAACUAGUCCAUGCACUCAAGUACUACAACAAGCUAAGCAAUUCAAGCAUAACAAAUGAAAUAACAUGAGCAAUAUUAUUUAAAUGAUUUAAUGCAUGAAAUAAGCCAUAUUCAAGUUGGAAAAUCAUAGUUAUUGAAAUGACACAAUGCAAAUAUUUAUCGUGGCUUGCCUUAGCACAGAGGAGGGUCACACUCCUCCUGGUUCUCCUCAAGGCAAGUUUCUCCUGCUGAAAAUAAUUAAAAAUAGCAAAAGAAAAUAUCAAGAACCAUUCUGAAAUUCACCAGAAAUUCUCGACAGCAAGGAAAAAUCUCAAAUUUGGUAUGCUGCUAGAAUAUUUCAAUACAAAACCAAUGCAAAAAGAAUCAACUCAUUUGGACUUGUAGAUUAGGAGUUAGAGCUGGUCAAAGUUGCUGGUCAAAUAUGAUUUAAAUUAGAUUUAAAUAAAUCGGGGGGGGGGGGUGGCGUCGAAGGCGUAUUUCAGAGAAUACGCUCCACUCAUACCGCUUCAGGCGCGAGUGGAGAGGCUGACAGCAGGCCCUGCUCGUCGGGUUUUCAGAGAGGGGGAAGAGAAACAGAGGAGGGGCGAUGGUCGCCGGUGGGCACGCCGACGAGGAGGGCUUGGCGGCCGAUCUGAGAGGGAGGGAUGGAAAGAGGAGACUCAGGCGCACCUAUUCGUACCCGUAGCAAGGCAAGAGGUGGUCGGAGUUGCUCGGAAACAACGUCUCCAGCGGCGGCUGCGGUGCGGUUCGCCGGAGAUGAAGAAGACGGCGAGGGCUAGCAAGUCCAGGGGUCCAGAGGGGUCGGCUAGCACCAGUGAGUCACCAGGGAGUCGCCGGAGAAGAGGGUCGAGCUCGAGGGGCACUGGAGAGGUGGGGGCGAUAGGAGGGGAUCGCCGGCGAGCUCGGGAAGGGAACGACGGCCAGAGGCCUGCCAUGCCGGGCUACGACUAUCUACGGUGUUUGUGGAGGUUGAGCGAGUGUGGUGGGAUGCUCGGAGAGGCGAGGGAGGGCUCUAUAUAUAGGCGGAGGAGAGCUCUGGAAGCAGCGCACGACGACAAGGGGGUUAACAUUUGAGAAAGCAUAGGCUUUCCUACACCCCCUUAUCUAGCCACUCAUUUUUGCAUCACGAUUCGUGCGAGUACAUUUGUCUUUUUUGUUUCUCCCAUAUAGAACAACAUAUGAACUUCAAACUUGGCAGCUCAACAAAACAUUCUUACUAGAAUGUGGGAAAAAACUUUUAGAAUUUUUCGUGCAAUAUAAAUACUAAAAAGUAAUUUUUUAAUACAAAAAAUUUAAUUUCGUAUAUUUAUGUUUAACGAAAAAAUCUGAAAGUUUUUUUCUCACAUUCUCGUUAGAACGUUUUGGUGUCUUGCAAAGUUUGAAGUUCAUAUGUUGUUUUAUUUUGAAGAAACAAAAAAGAGAAAAUAUGAUGUACAAAGUUAGUGGUCUAGCACGGAUCUUAAAGCAAUGUUGGAGGGUAAGGAUAAGGGGUGUCCAGAAACCUGAGCUGUAAAAAUCCGCGUCCACGACAAGGGGCAUCAGUGAGAGGAGAGGGCGCCAGGGCUCACGCGACAACUGUUGGAGCUCGAGGACGAGCACAGGGCACACGUUAGGGGCCUGACUCGAGCACGGGGGCACUGUGCUCUCUGGCGCGGAGUGCUCGUGAUCGCUUCGGCUAUGUCGAAUUCGUCUUCCAGCCAUGAUACUCUGGCCUGGAAACCCUUAAUCGUGGUUGGCAUAGUCGUGUUCUCCGCCUCUGGCCACACGAUGCCACUGCCCGAUCUCCUCCGUCCUAGCUCCUGCCUUGGCUUCCGCGUGUCCUAGAGGUGCCCCGGAUGACGUUUGCGUCUCCAUCCUUGAAUCAUUCGAUCUCAAGCUACCCCCGCAUCAACACCAUGCUCCGCCAACGCCAUCACUGACGAGGACAUCACUCCGGUUCUCCCUUGUCGCGUCCGAGCAUGCAUACAAGCUCAGGGUGAGAUCCUUGACAUCCUGCCUCUCUUCCUCGUCAGCAGUAGCGGGUUGCCCCGGGGGGCUCGGUUAGGACCCGAAAGGAGGGAAUAAAUACGGGUGGGGUUGCCGGUGUAGGGGCUCAUGACAGCGCCAUCGUUCUUUGCUCACCGAAAACUGAGGUGGUGGCGGUGGCGGGACUGGCAUGAGAGGAGGAGGCGGUGGCGGCUGUGGCUUGGUAUGGGAGUACGGGACGGAGAGAUGAGUGAGAAGGGAGAGAUGGGGUUCUAUGGGACAUGAUGAUGUGGCAGAUGACUAGAGGCCGACUUGGAUGUUGACUAGUCAAAACCAGUAAAAAAGUCAAAAACCAGCCGAGGGGUCUUUUUUUGUCCGGUUUUGAAAGUUGAGGGUUGUAAACUAGAUAGUUUUCGUAGUUCACGGUUGUAUAUUAUACUUUAGUGGUAGUUCAAGGUUGUAAUAUGGACUUCUCUCUUGAGUUUUACCUCCACCGUUUGGGCAUGGACGUGGGUAAACAGCCUCAUGUGAAUCCCAUCAGGUGUUUCGGCUACGCGCUAUACCCCAUCGAGAGUACUGCCGAUAUAAUGAACUAACAGUUGCACAUGCCAACCCCUGGCGAUGAUCCGACUGCGAAGGCCCUCGAGGCUCAGCACCUAGCCCUCGACGAGGCGCAUAUCCACCUAUAGAAGGACCGUGCUCGCCUAGAAACCAGACAUGGUGAAUUGCCGAACUCCAUCGAGCACAACCCAGCGUCGGCCAAAUCACAUAAUUAUCUAACUUUCAUGGACUGAUCUUGAUUUCUUGGCACCUAAAAGGACCGGAUCGAGAUUAAUACUGGUAUAAUGAAACGACACUAACUUUCAUGGAAUGUUGCAGUUUGUUAUAGCAUUUUGUUUAACAAGCGCAAUCUUGCCCUGCCUGUUGAUCCAAGCUAUUGCAGAAUUUAACAUAUCAGUUAACUUAAAAAGUAAAAGCUCAAUUUUCCUGUAGGUGGACUGAAGUACAAAUUCUAUUACUGAUGCAGAGAGGUGACUAUUGGCAAAUGCAUUACAAGGUGAUGAUAACCAACAUUUCCGUUUGCUCUCUCAGAGGUUGUUAAUUUCCUUUCUCCUGGUCUAAAUUUGUAGUGUAUAUCUCUAUCCUAAUGUUGUCUUCAUAUAUACUACAGUUAUGAACCCCUUCAAAACUUCUAUUAUUUAUAUAAUUAUCUCAAAACAAACAACAACUUUGUUGACCAGUAAACGAACACCUAGAAGGUUAUGGUUGCUCAUGAUUUUGUACAGGAAGUUUUUUUAUUUACAGUUGAACAAAUGCCUGUUAGAGGAUCUAUUGUUUCCUGGUUAUUAUUUUAUGAAACAACUUAGUCUCCAUGGACAUGUGUAAAUAUUAUUUUUGUCAAUUUUGAACAUCGAGCAAGUACAUACUCUAAGCAUGGGCUGCAUGAGAGAAUUACUAGAGAGAUUUGGGAAAAGUUGUUCACUGAUAAUUAGGUGCUUGAUUUUUACCUAAAAAAAUGAAAGGAUCAUCUCCUUUAAGCAAUUAAAAAAUUUCAGUCAACGUGGAAGUAAUCUCACAUGAAAUUGGCGUUGUCUAAAAUCUCAUAAAAAUGAAGGGGACGAAUAGCAGGCCAUUUUUUAUUUAUAUCGCGUGUUGACAAUUAUUGUAUGUUUUUCUUUGCUUCCCACUUUCAUAAUUUAGCACGGUAGCUACUUACGUCAAUAAUAAUUGACCACGUAAUUUAGACAAUUGCCUUGUUUUCCUGUAGUGCACCAUCCGACUAAUUGAUAUGGUUCAUAGUGGAAUGAUAGCAACUAGUUAUUCUUGUUGUACACACCUUAAAUGGAAAGUUGAAACACUAGUCUAAGUAGUCAACAGUUAACUCUCCACUUUUUUGUAGUUUAAAGGUCUAUCUGUUCGGAAUGAUUCAUUAUAUAUGAGGUGCUUAGGAAGUUACAUAACCUGAAUUAAUAAAGGUAGGAUCCAAGAGAAAUGAUUUAGUCAAUGGUGCUGUGAGGACAUGUUUCACUCCCUUAUAUAUGGUACCUAAUGUGCCAACCUUGCAUGGAGUUGCUUGACCAUUGGUUUCAUGAAAUCAAUGGCACUACCAAGCAUAUUUUGUUGUUGAUUUUUUCGGUGUGUAUUUGUCUUCAUCAGAAAGGAAAAUGCCUAAUUUUCUUCUUCUUGGUUCUAAUCGAUGAACUAACUUUUGCACAGCUGAUGACCAUUUAUAUUUUAGUUAGUGCUAGAUUAUAAUCUUGCAUUUAACCUUUUGGUUUGUGAUGUUCAAUUUCACUUAAUAAGAAUAUGAACACAAAUUGUUUAAUCAUUCAAUUCAGCAGGGUUGAUGAAUAUGCUGGACUGUGGGACUUUCCCUAGACACAAGCUUUUGUGGGCUUUGCCGUGUUUUCAUGCUCAGGCAGCCACAACUCUGUCCAUAGACUGUAGUGUAAGCACGAAACUGUACUUUUUACUAUAUCGUAUUGGAACUUAUUUUGACUUGCAGUGUGUUUCACCGAAUAUUUCAUCGACGUUGUUAGUUGGAAUCAGAGAAGUUCCAAGGUCAACAAACAAACCCUUAUGCUGUAACAAACAGUUCGUUGAGACUGUGCGGACCAUAUGAAUAGUUUAGAGAGUUGUAUCAUUAACAGAGAUCAUCCAGAUGUUUCUCAGGAAAGCAGCUAGUGUAGUGUAGUACUACAAGAUAAUAUAAGUCCGCCUAUAUAAUUGAUAGGUUGAAAUUGUUGCUACAUGUGGGCUGUUUUUUUUGUUGCGGGAAAACUUCCGAACUAUUGAUACUCCCUCAAUUCCCUUAUACAAGGCCACAAACUCAAAUUACAGGUACCUAGGUAAAAUUUAAUGACUACUUUGCAAGCCAACUUUUCUUCUUGUUAACUGCGAUCAUUAAUAUGUCCGCAUGCAUGCAAGGAAGGAAUGAGAAGGAAGUAGCACAGUGUUAUUAUGACUACAAGCAUGCAAGUAUUAAACAAGUUGCUAUUACGAGAAAACAUCAUUAAAUUUUGCCUCGGUUACGGUUAGUGGCCUUGUAUAGAUGCAAAAUGUAUUUUUCAUAGUGGCCUUGUAUAAGGGAAUGGGGGGAGUAUUAAAUCAUGGUAGUAUAACAAACACUAGAAAUAAUAAAAAUUACAUCUAGAUCCGUAGGCGACCAAGCGACAACUACAUGCACUGAAACGAGCCAAAGGCACACCGCUGUCAUUGACCCUCCCUUGCCGGAGACGGGCAAACUUGCUGAAAUAGACAGUCGAGAAGUCGUCGUGUUUAGUCCUCAUAGGACCAGCACACCAGAACAGUAACAACCACCGAUGAAAAGAUGCGUAGAUCGGAAGGAUCCAACAUGAAGAUAAAACGAACGAAGGCCGGACCCGAAUAGAUCCAUCAAAGACAAUCAUCAGACGAAUCCUGUGAGAUACGCCGGAGACCUCCACACACAUUCCGACAAUCGAAAGGGGCCAGGUAGGGAGAAAAUUAUUCCAUGUUCAAGGAGCCCCCACCGUCUAGCCUUCCUUAACAGGACAGAAACUCGAACAAAACGGAAAGAACCAUCUAAAAAUGGAGCCAUCCCAUGACAAGGGCAGAGAUCCACCGCGCCCUCAUGGUUCUAAGGCCAACGGAGACUAGACGGACGGACGGACGGACGAGAGCAUCAAUUGGUGAACCUGCUUCAUUUAGUACAGAACAGAACUUGUUUUUCUUUUUUGAGGGGAAAUCAACUUGGUUACUAUGUACGUGUCAUAAUUAUGCUACUUCAUCAAAUGAUCAAAGUACAUUAGCGAUAGCUGGCUCAACUGGUUCCCGGGUUGCGUACGGCUUCUUCUUUUUUUCUUUUUGAGGGUGGUUGCGUACGGCUUCAGACUGUUGAUUCCUUGGUUGGAGACCUCGCACGCGCAGUGCUCGUUAUGCGAAAUCCAUCCGUUCCAGCAUAGCCGGUGGGCCGAAGACGCGAAGACCAGGGCGCUUAGCCACCGGUGGGCCGAAGACGCGAAGACCAGGGCGCUUAGCCACCGGUGGGCCGAAGACGAGCGCACCGCUGACGCUGCCUGCCAGUAGUAUUUUAGUACCACACCGCUCGUUUCGGUAGACACCUCGCGGGUUAAAUAGCGAGACGUUCAACCAUGUAUCGCCGACGACGCAAAGCUAGCACUAGCUAUGCUGGCCUGUCGAGGCAAAAAGCGGUCGUGACGUACUUCUGGCCGGGUUUGGCCCAGCAGCCUGUAACCCUAGGUCGCUGUUAACUCGUGCAUGUUGGGGGCUAGAAGUACGGAGCGAUGUAAGUCUUUUUUGCAUCUUGAUGCCGUUUUUCAUUUACCUUGGUUCAUUCUAUUUGAGUCGACGAAAAUCUUUUCUCUCUUACUUAUAUAGUAUUCGUGUGAGCUGCAAAUUUCCCCUUUCACACGGACUAGUGUAAAUAAAGAUUUUUAUUUUUCCUCUUCGUUCCACUCCGACCGGCACCAAACCAUUUAUUUCCUUCCGCUUGUUCUAACUCCGAUUCAUUAUUUAUUUGCUCAAAAGAUUGUGUGUGUUAGGCGCCAAAAGUAUAUGGUGACGUCGUCUUUUCUCUAGCAUGUAAGAAACAAAUCUGCCCGGAGUACUUCUCUCCACUCCUUCCCUCCCUCCAUAGGGCCAAGUUGGUCCUAAACCGCAGAGUCAUUUUUCUGUUACACGAAAAGCUGCAAUAUGACGUUCUAUCUCAUACCCUCUUGGACGGGACAUCUAUGUUGGUGUAAUGCCACACACUUCAAUGGACAAAUGUAUGGAAUGUCAUGCCCCUUAUUCCCGCUUCGCUAUAGUGGUCAGGCAGUGCGAUGCCAGGACUUUUUUAAAAUUGUUUUUGCAUCGUCAUGCUGUUUUUAGUGAUUCUAUUUGGAUCAAUGCACAUCUUUUCUCCUCUUACUUAUAAACUCGUCGUGUGAGUUAGGAUCGAUUCGGGCAGAUGCAAACUUUUCCCUUUCACAUAGACUAAUGUAAAAAAAAUUCCUCUUCAUUCCACUCGGACAGAAAUGGAACCAUUUAUUCCUAUCCCCCGUACUAACUCCGACUCAUUUUUUCUUUGCUCACAAGCUCGUGUGUGUUGGGCGCCAAACAUAUGGGGUGACGUCGUCUUUUCUCUAGCCUGAAAGAAACGAACCUGCCCGGAGUACUUCUCAACAUCCCUUCCCUCCCUCUAGAGGGCCAAGUUGCUCCAGCACCGCCGGGUCAUUUUUCUAUGACAUGAAAAAGCUGCAAUAUGUCGUUCUCACUCGCACUCUCUUCAACUGGACAUUUAUGUUGGAGUAAUGACGCAUACUUUAAUAGAUAAAUGCAUGGAGUGUCAUGUCCCUUUUUUUCGCUUCAUCGUAGUGGUCAGGCUGUGCGACGCUGGGACUAUAGAGUAAUGUAACUCUGUUUUUUCGCACCGUCUCUCCAUCAUGCUGCUUCGGCGCUGUGACACCUGAUGUAUGGAGUGUUAAGUAUUUAUUUCAUUCUGUGCCGGAGGGUUGGUUUCCUUGCUCAACUUUAUGUGCUUGGGGGCUAAAGUUUUGUAGCAACAUUAGUGUUUUCCCUCCGCUAAGACUAAUGGAUCGUUUAUUUUCCAUCCUUCGAAUGCGACGGAUGCAAUUUUUCCCUUCUGCAUGGACUAGCGUCAAAUUUAUAUUUUUUAUUUUUUGUCUUCAUUCCAAUCAAACAGACACCAAAUCAUUCAUUUCCUUCCACUCGAACUAACUCUGAAUCAAAUAUGGCUUGCUCACAAGCUCGUUUGUAUUGGGAACCAAAAGUAAGGAGUAAGGGCCUGUUCGGUACUCCUCCAGCUUCCAGAUCCGCCUAAAUCUGCGCUGGAGCUGAGCCGAACGGUUCCGCUCAGGGAAGCUAGCUUCCUGGAUCAUAGGACAGUCCACGUACAAAAAACUGGAGCGGCGUUUCUGGCGAUCCAGGAAAAAGGAAACCGAGAGUUGGCGUAAAUUACGAGUAGUGCCACCGCCAAGCAAGGUUGGAAAAAGCGGUAGGCGUAAGCGAGGCGGUUGGCCUUCGCCUAGUGCCUAGGCGGUGCUUAAGCGCCCUAAGCGCAGCCUAGGCGGUUAUAUAAUUUUUACUAUCAGGGUGUAUAUGUGGUUAUUAUAUGUAUUUUAUUAAUUUAGGGCAUAUAAAUAUGUUAACUACCAGCUACUAUGAUUGGAAUAUGGCCCUUUUGGCAUAUCAGUGCAAUAUGACAUGCCUUGUCGUUUGGGUAGACAAUUUCUUACUUGCUCUGCCUAGACUUCUGCUUAUGACCUAGGCGAGGCGUUUGGCCAUUGCCUAGCGCGGCCAUUGCCUAGCGCCUAGGCAUGUCUAAGCGCCUCCUAGGCACUGCCUUUUCCAACAAAGCCGCCAAGUGACUCGAUGGCUGCGUACCAGUUCGCUACCUUCGUUAUAUUCUCCUGAUGACGUGGAGGCAUCAGUAUUUUUCACUCUGAACUGGGCCAAGCCCAGCUACUCUCCUCCUGUGUCCGGCUGGGCCUAAGGCCACCUUAACUGUUGAGCUAGCUGGGGGAAGAUCCUAAUGGACGCUCGUUGCGUCAAGUUGCCGCUGCUUCGCACAGAGGCGAGUGAGCUAGCGAUUAAGAUGGGCCGGCCCAAUUACGAGAUUUCGCACGUGCUACAGUGUCCGUUUUUGGGAACAUUCUGGAAGGUUCCUAACCGGUUUUGGGAACCUUCUAGAAGCUUCUUGACCCGUUUUUUCACUAGUUUUUUCUGUUUCCUUUUCUUUUUUUUUCUGUUUCUUUCUUUGUUUUCUGUUUGUUUAUUUCAUUUUAGUUCCUUUUUCUUCUUUUUUUAAUUUUCUUUUUGUUCUCCCGAAUUUCAAAUUCUUUUCGAAAAUUCUAAAAAUGGUUAGAAGUUCAAAAAAUGUUCUUGUUAUUAAUAUUUAUCACAAAUACAAAAAAAUGUUCUUCAUUUUUGAAAAAAAAUGUUUGCAUAUUACAAAAAAAUGUUCGCUUUUAGAAACAAAUCCAUAGGUUCAAAAAGUUGAACUUUUCAAAUUGUGUUUAGGAGUUUAAAAUUUUUUUCCCAUUUUCAAAAUUUGUUCGCCAAUGUCCAAAAAAUGUUCAUGUUUUCAAAUUUUUUCUGAGAUUCAAAAAAUGUUUCCAUUUAUAUAAUUGUUCGCAAAUUCCAAACAUAUGUUUGUGUUUCAAUUUUUGUUCGGGAGUUUCAAAAGAAGUUCGCUUUUUAAUAAAAAGUUUGGAUUUAAAAAAAUAGUUUAUAGGUCUCAAAAAAUGUUCCCAAUUUGAAAAAAUGUAUGGAAUUUCAAAAAUGUUCAGAAAUUUUGAAAAUUGUUUGCGUUCUCAAAAAAUAUUUGUUUUAUAAAAAAGCUUGAAAUUUUUGAACCACUAAAACUCGGUUGCUACAGGAAACACAAAGUUCGUCUGCUACAGGACAUACAAAGCCCGUCUGCUACAUUAGCCUACUCUCUGCAGUGACCCGGCUCGCUAUAGUGCAUCGCUUGCUAUAUGGGCCGGCCCAAUAGGGGAGCGCUCUGUUUGACGCAGCGAGCGUCGAACAGGAGCUCCCCUAGCUGGGCUCCAGUCCGUCUGAGCAGGUUGGCCUGCUGGCACGUACGAGAAGCUGGAGCGAGCGUGCCGAAUGAUUUUUCAUCAAUCGCAAUCCAUGGAAGAAGCCACCAUCGGGAAAUAGAAGCCAGAUUUGUGGAUUUGGUGAAGCUGGAGGAGUACCGAACAUGCCCUAAGGCUGGCCUUUUUUUGCCUCUCGUGUUUUUUCUCUACUAUUUGGACCUGGAAGUAACGCAUCCGUCCGGACUACUUCUGUCCACCGCUCCUCCACCGUCAUGUCAUUUUUCUAUGUCAAGGAAAGGCUGCAACAUGUCCUUGGGUCUCGCAAUUUAUUUGAUGGAACAUCAGUGUUCGAGUAAUGCUGCCAACUUCAAUGGACAGAUUUUAUGGAGCGUCUUGUCCUUUUUUCGGCUUCUCCUCCAAAGUGGUCGGUCGGCUGUGCGGCACUUCAAGGACAUCAAACACCCAUGGGGCAAGCAGCAAGAGCCAUGCUGUGAGUGGAGCUAGAACUUCGUGUGAGCCCAUCGACCGUGGUUAGGUAAGCUCAUGACACCAAUGAUUGCAAAGUAUGCGACUAAAGGGGUUUGGUGCUCAUGACAGCAAUGAUUGCAAAGUGUGUGACCAAACGCGUUUGGUGAGACGCCCAGCACGACGGGGAUCUAGAAUCGGAGGGGCUCAGUGCUACAACCGACACAACAUAAGUUGGGACCAUAGGCGCGUAGUGUUGCAAUCGGACAUGGCGGCGAGCCAUAACAACUACAACUAGAGGUGCCCAGUGCUGCAACCGGCAUGACGACGAGUUGGAACCUACAAUGAAGCAUUUUGAUUGGAAAGUUAGAUACUUGUAUUGUUCAAUUUUAAAAUAAUUUUAUUAUUCUAGCAUUGAGAUGGGUGGGUGUGGCAACAUCUUUAUGUUCUAGUAGGAAUGUUAGAACGGAUUGUUGCCUAGACCAAGUCAUAGGCAAUUCCUUUGGGAGCAUGCCAAGGAGAUGCCCAAUAUGUAAAGGGAACCGUGAACCAAAUAUUUGUCCUGAUUAUUGGGGGAAUUGGUAUACAAUUGGAAAGUUUAUGCACACUCGGUAUGAGUGUCCAAAUAAAGAGUGAAAUGCGCCGCCGGUCCAUAAACUCGAACCCAUUGCACAUUUUAGGACAAUAACUCAUGACAUUAUCAGAUUUAGUCCACAAACUCGUUAAGUUGAUCAAAUCGGCCCGAGAGGGGAAAAAACCAGCCACGUGGAUGCCAUGUCAUCGUUCCUUGACCGCUCAUGAAUUAGCUAUUUUUAGAAGGGUCUAUUUGUAAAGUGGCUGGGUUCUUCAUCACAAACCAUGCGAAGGGCGUUCGACAAAAAAUUAAUAUGCGGCUCAAAUUGUAUGUAUUCACGUAGAAUCAUGAGAAAAAAACCCGAAGAUCCCACUUGAUUGUUUUCCAAUCACGCGAUUUGUUUCCUUCUAUUGCGCUGACUGUUGUUUGUUGCUAGAUCAUCGCGUUCCCUUCCCUCCUCAUUUGUCUUCUGUGACUUGCCGAUCAUGGCAACAUUGCUUGGCAAUGGACCACUUUAAUUGUUGGGGAACGUAGUAAUUUCAACAGUUUUCCUACGCACACGCAAGAUCAUGGUGAUGCAUAGCAACGGGAGGGGAGAGUGUUGUCUACAUACCCUCGUAGACCGUAAGCGGAAGCGUUAUGACAACGCGGUUGAUGUAGUCGUACGUCUUCACAAUCGACCGACCCUAGCACCGAAGGUACGGCACUGUAACGCCCCGGAUCCGAUGCGCCAGGUGUUCUCCAGUUAUUCGUCGUCGUUGCCAUGCCAUUUGCUUGCGUGUUGCAUUUUGCCAUGUCAUCAUCUGCAUGUGUUUCAAAACUUGCAUCCGGUCCUUUUCCUCGUUGUCCGUUUCGCGAUCCGACACUCCCACACGCGCCCGUCGCCCCCCUCAGACCUUGUUUCGUGAGCGUGAGAAAAACGUUCUCGGAAUGGGCCGAGAUUUGCCAAGUGGCCUUGGUAUACCACCGGUAGACCACCUGUCAAGUUUCGUUCCAUUUGGAGGUCGUUUGAUGCUCCAACGGUUAACCGGGUAACCGCAAAGUCCUUUUGUGUGUUGCAGCAAAACCCCCCUCCAAACAGCCCAAAACUCACCUAAGUCACUUCCAUGCUCUAGGUCGUUCGAUCACGAUCGUGUGGGCGAAAACCGCACUCCAUUUGGAGUCUCCUAGCUCCCUAUGCCUAUAUAAACACCUCCCCCUCCGAAAUUGCGGGCAAAACCACCCCUAACCCUAGAUCAAAUCGCCCCCGCCGACACCGGACAAGUCCACCGCCGCCGGACGAAAGCCGCCGCCGCCCCGGGCCUAUCGGGAGCCGCCACGUGGCAGCCGGCGCCGCCGCCACCCGCAGCNNNNNNNNNNNNNNNNNNNNNNNNNNNNNNNNNNNNNNNNNNNNNNNNNNNNNNNNNNNNNNNNNNNNNNNNNNNNNNNNNNNNNNNNNNNNNNNNNNNNNNNNNNNNNNNNNNNNNNNNNNNNNNNNNNNNNNNNNNNNNNNNNNNNNNNNNNNNNNNNNNNNNNNNNNNNNNNNNNNNNNNNNNNNNNNNNNNNNNNNNNNNNNNNNNNNNNNNNNNNNNNNNNNNNNNNNNNNNNNNNNNNNNNNNNNNNNNNNNNNNNNNNNNNNNNNNNNNNNNNNNNNNNNNNNNNNNNNNNNNNNNNNNNNNNNNNNNNNGGCGAGCUCCGCCGCCCGUGCCCCGACGCGCCUCCUCUCCGGCCGCGUCUCCCUCUUCUCCUCCGGCCGCCGCGUCCCCUUCACCGCCGGCGAGCUCGAGCCCGCGCCGAUCCAGAUCCAUGCCGGAGGUUGACUUCUCCCCCCCCCGAAAUUCUUCUAAGUCCCAUAUUUUUCACUUUAUAUGCUCCUGUUCAUCGCAUCAUAACUCUCUACAUACUGCUCCGUUUCGUGCGUGUAAUAUAUCGAAAUGUUCGUCUCGAGAUGAUAUUCAUUUUGUUCCAUUAUGCCAUGUUCAUUUGAGUCCAUCUUGAUGCCCAAAUGUCUGGUGCAAGAGUGCUAAUUGCUGUUACCGGCUGUUACUUAUCAGAACUUGAGGAUUUGUUAUUUUUUGUUGCAUUUAAUGUGUGCAUCUUAUGGGCAUGAGCUCUACAUGUGUUUUGAUGUAUGCCAUGCCAUCUUUACAGAGGUGUAUACUAAGUCUGUGGUGACUAGCACAAGCAUGCAAACUAGGCUUCGCGAUGUUUCUGAUUUCAGGGACUUGGUAAUACUAAGUCUGCUACUGCUGUUAUUUGGUUGCCAUGUAUCCAUGUGUCUACAGUGAGAUCCAUGCUCCUUUUGGUGAUGUUCAGUAAGGAUGUUUUGUAGAUAUAGUUGUGCUAUAUCCAUCCAUGCCCUUGUUUGCAAUUAUGGAGUGAGAUAGCAUGUCUUAAUCUUGCUCUACUUUUGCUAUAAAAUAUUUCUGGCAGAUUGUUUACGUGUUAUUCAACUUUGCCAUGCUUGUUGUAGUUGAUCCAUACAUGCUAUGUAUUUAAUUUUGCCAUGGAUAGCUUCAUAAACAUGUCAUCUUAUUGUAGGUAUGCUUAUUUUGUCAUGCAUUGCUUUGUGGUGAGUGAAUCAAGCUCACAAAGAUGCCUUCAUAUUACUGUUACUGCCAUGCUCUGUUUACAUGGUUGCCAUCAUAUCUUCUGAUCGUUUUUGGCUUAUGGUCAUUAAGGGACUUUUGUUAUAUGCAUUUAGUAGAUUAAUUCCGUGCCUUGUUUUGCUAUGUUAAGUUCCUGUAGCAUGUGUUUUUCUUGCUCUGAACAUUGCUACCUGAUGCUGUUUAUGCCAUGUCCAGUAAUUUCACUAAGUCUGUGAACCUGUUAUCUUUUGCACUUUUGCCAUCCUUGUUUGAACCUGUUAUGGUGUGAUCUAGCCGUAGCUCAGUGUUCAUCUUUUGUCAAGCAUCUCCUGUAGAUUACUGCCAUAUGCUUUGUUGCUAUGUUGGAGUGCUGUAGAAUAGUUUCUUGAUGUAUUCUAAGUGCUAUCAUGCUGUUAAUCGCAGAAUCGUGUCAUUCUUAUUUUGCUUGCCAUUUGCAAACCGUGCAUCCGUUUCCGGUGAUGUUUAUAUCGAUUUCGACCGAAAUCAUCUCAUCUUUCCAGUGGCAUGCUUGGUUUGCCAAGUUACUGCCUUGUUCAUUCAUUUUCUUCCGGAGCGCGCAUAUGCAUCGCAUAUCAUAUCUCGCAUAUCAUUCAUGUUUUGCAUCAUGUUGCUUGUGCAUUUCCCGUGAUUGAUUGUGGUUCCGUUGCUUGUGUUCUUGUUUUGGGUAGAGCCGGGAGACGAGUUCGUGAACGAGGAACCUGUUGAGUACGCUUACGAGGAUCAAGCUUUCGACAACUCUGAGAACCUUUCAGGCAAGAUGACCAUACCCUCGAAAUCACUUCUAUCUUUGCUUUGCUAGUUACUCGUUCUAUUGCCAUGCUGCGCUACCUACCAUUUGCUAUAUCAUGCCUCCCAUAUUUGCCAUGUCAAGCCUCUAACCAUCCUUUCCUAGCAAACCGUUGUUUGGCUAAGUUACCGCUUUUGCUCAGCCCUUCUUAUAGCGUUGCUAGUUGCAGGUUAAGUUGAAGUUCGUUCCAUGUUGGAACAUGGAUAUUUUGGAAUAUCACAAUAUCUCUUAUUUAAUUAAUGCAUCUAUAUAUUUGGUAAAGGGUGGAAGGCUCGGCCUUAUGCCUGGUGUUUUGUUCCACUCUUGCCGCCCUAGUUUCCGUCAUACCGGUGUUAUGUUCCUUGAGUUUGCGUUCCUUACGCGGUUGGGUGAUUUAUGGGACCCCCUUGACAGUUCGCCUUGAAUAAAACUCCUCCAGCAAGGCCCAACCUUGGUUUUACCAUUUGACCACCUACCACCUACACUUUCCUUGGGUUUUCGCGAGCCCGAGGGUCAUCUUUAUUUUAGACCCCCACGGGCCAGUGCUCCUUCGAGUGUUGGUUUGAACCGAGCUGCCUGCGGGGCCACCUUGGGGAAACUUGAGGACUGGUUUUACUCGUAGCUAGUCUCAUCCGGUGUUGCCCUGAGAACGAGAUAUGUGCAGCUCCUAUCGGGAUUUGUCGGCACAUCGGGCGGCUUUGCUGGUCUUGUUUUACCAUUGUCGAAAUGUCUUGUAAACUGGGAUUCCGAGACUGAUCGGGUCUUUCCGGGAGAAGGUUUAUCCUUCGUUGACCGUGAGAGCUUAUAAUGGGCUAAGUUGGGAUACCCCUGCAGGGUAUUAUCUUUCGAAAGCCGUGCCCGCGGUUAUGAGGUAGAUGGGAAUUUGUUAAUGUCCGGUUGUAGAGAACUUGCCACUUGACCCAAUUAAAAUACAUCAACCGUGUGUGUAGCCGUGAUGGUCUCUUCUCGGCGGAGUCCGGGAAGUGAACACGGUUUGAGUUAUGCAUGAACGUAAGUAGUUUCAGGAUCACUUCUUGAUCAUUUCUAGCUUCGCGACCGUUGCGUUGCUUCUCUUCUCGCUCUCAUUUGCGUAUGUUAGCCACCAUAUAUGCUUAGCGCCUGCUGCAGCUCCACCUCUUUACACCAUCCUUUCCUAUAAGCUUAAGUAGUCUUGAUCUCGCGGGUGUGAGAUUGCUGAGUCCUCGUGACUCACAGAUUCUACCAAAACAUUUGCAGGUGCCGACGAUGCCAGUGCAGGUGACGCAACCAAGCUCAAGUGGGAGUUCGACGAGGAACGUGCACUACUAGGAAAAGGGCUAUAGAUGGAAUGGCCACUAAUGGCGCACCAGAAAUGUGGUGCGCCAUUGCUAUAUAGCAAUGGCGCACCAUGUGCUGGUGCGCCAUUAGUGUGAAAGACACUAAUGGCGCACCAAACAAACGGUGCGCCAUUAGUAACAAUUUUUUUUUAUUUUGCCAGACAUACUAAUGGCGCACCAGGACAUAGUGCGCCAUUACUAGUUGUAACUAGUAAUGGCGCACCAGCAACAUAGUGCGCCACUAAAAUAUUUUUUUUAUUUUUUACUUUUUUACAAAACUACUAAUGGCGCACCUGGUGCAGUGCGCCAUUACUAGUUUAAGCUAGUAAUGGCGCACUGCUCCCCGUGCGCCAUUAGUGUAUAUUUCAUGGACACUUGAUCUCGAUCCCCCUCCAUCUCGCGAUCGCUAUCCCACCUCGCCAGAUCCGGUCCCCCUUGCCGCCGAGCACCCCCUGCACCCUCUACCCCGCUCCACCGGGCGCCGCCGCCGACCCCCCGCACCCUCCCCCGCUCCACCGCCGCCGACGACCCNNNNNNNNNNNNNNNNNNNNNNNNNNNNNNNNNNNNNNNNNNNNNNNNNNNNNNNNNNNNNNNNNNNNNNNNNNNNNNNNNNNNNNNNNNNNNNNNNNNNNNNNNNNNNNNNNNNNNNNNNNNNNNNNNNNNNNNNNNNNNNNNNNNNNNNNNNNNNNNNNNNNNNNNNNNNCGCACCCUCCCCGGCCCGCUCCACCGCCGCCGACGACCCCCUGCACCCUCUCCGGCCUGCUCCACCGUCACAAAUGAAUGCUAUAGCUAAUUCCUCCCUCUCCCUCGCCAGUUCCCCUUCGUCCCUCUCCCCCGCGCCAGUUCCUCUCCGUCCGCUCCCAAUCCGCGCCCCCGCCGCCUCCCUCUCCCCAUCCUCCCCUCCGACCCCACCCCACUCUCGCCGGAGCAGCGCCGCAGGGCCGACACCAACCUCGCCCUCGCCCGCGCGCGCCGCAACCUCCGCCUCGCAUUCAACAGCUACACAUUCUACACCGAGGACAAGGACAUGAAGAGCGAUGGUUAUCAGAACUCCGGGGUAACGAUGGAAUCCUACACCGGUAACGACAAGGACAGAGCACCCCCCGCAACCCCCGACGACCCACCGCACCCUCCCCGCUCCACCGCCGCCGAGCACCCCCCGCACCCUGUUUUUAUAAAAAUUAUUACUGUUUUUAUAAAAAAAAUAUUACUGUUAUGAUUUAAACAAGUUUCAACAUAUUUAAACACAAAUAAAUAUCAAACAGCAUUUUAAAUGCAUUUUUUAUAAAAAUUAUUAUUGUUUUUAUAAAAAAAUAUUACUGUUAUGAUUUAAACAAGUUUGAACAUAUUUAAACACAAAUAAAUAUCAAACAGCAUUUUAAAUGCAUAAAAAAAAUUGGGGAGCCUGGGAAUCGAACCCAGGACCUCCUAGUGUGUGUGUUGCGUGCUGACCAGUCGGGCUAGUGGGCGUGUUCUAAUGGAGAUAGGGUUAGGUGGGAUAUAACCUGACCAGUCGGGCUAGUAAGUAAAACAAAAUUCUAAUGGCGCACCAGGGGGAGGUGCGCCAUUAGAAUCGACGUACUUAUGGCGCACCAGGGGGAGGUGCGCCAUUAGAAUUUUUAUACUUGUUCCCCUCGCACUGUCGCCUCCCUCCCUCCCUCUCGCUCGCCAGAUCCCCCACUCCUCGACCCCAACCGUACGCCGCCGCCCCCUUGCUCCGCCCCCUCCGUCCGCCGCGCCUGCACGCCGGCGAGCGCGGCCCCGACGCGCCCAUCCCGCCUGCCCCUGCCGUGCUCCGCCACCGGCCCCUGCUCUCCUUCGACCGCGGCGAGCGAGGACCCGGAAGAGCUCGGAUCCCGACCCCUUCGCCGACCCCGACCCCGACCCCUCCGGCGACCAGGUAUCUCUCCUCCUUCCUCCUUCCUCCGUCUCUCCACCAUUCCCCAUUCCCUCCCACCUGUCCAGCGCCGACUCCAUCACCAUGGACUGACUCCCUCGUAGUCGAGAUCCGCCCCGUCGACGUCUAGCAGCCCAGCUCGACCUCCAGCCACUCCAGCUCCCUGGUGCGCCAAAAAGGUGGCAGCUCGUAGGUAAUAACACAGAAGCUCAAGGUGACCAGGGCUCAAGGUACUAACACAGAAGCUGACAAUGGCCCAUGCUCUAGUUCUGUCCAUUCUCUACCACUUCGAGGGUAACUUUGAAUUUCAGAAAUUUCUGAAGAAACAAAAUAUGAACUGUAUGAUACAAUAUAGAGCAGACUUGGUGAGUCAAGUUUUAGCUCCUUUCUCCGAACUUCAUCUCGUAGCUGACAGUAAUCCAAGGCCUGAAAUGUCGAAUAAUAUUUUUCAGAUAAGUUAAGAAGAUCAUAGGGCCUCUGUAUUUGAGAAAUGCACACACCCAUAUUGUGAAGACAUAUCAAACUAAAAAACAAUUGCGAGCACUUUAAAAGAGGGUCCUCUGUUUCUGUUAUUUUCUAAUUCACUAUGACCACUUUGCACACACGCAGAUGUAAUCAACAUAACAACAUCUGUAUUCAUCAACCUCUGAUAUGGAUAUCAUACUCGUGUAUUCAGUGAUGGCCUAGUGUACACAAAAGUCAGUCACACACCAAACAUUGGGAAUGCAUAGCCUGUUGGAGUAUUCCUUCUUGAGCCAGGCUCGUAGCCUCGUACAUUGCUUUCAGUAUGGGUGUAGAAUCUCUAGCAGAUAGUUCACUAGUAUAACAACAAUGGUCAUUGUUUAGUAUUUGGCACUUCUGUUUAGGUUAAAACAAUGUUAUUUUUUGUUCUUUUGCAAAGAUUAGAGUGCAGCAGCCCUGUAGAUUGUGAUUAAUUACUAUAUGAUUCAGUUCUAAAUAAUUUGUUUUAUGAUCCCAGUGCAAAGGAAUUCAUAUUUUAGUUUACAUCUGUCUAUGUAGUGUGUUGUGAAGGCCAAGUUUGAGAAGUGGUGGUGUCGCAGAGCAAUCCUCUCCCUUGACAGGUACAAUGUCCACUCUUCCACAUGUCUUAGUUUUUUUAAUGCAAUUGCUUCAUUGCCAUAUUACAUCAUUAACUGUUAUAUAUUCCAAAUCGUGCAAAACUUCAAUAGGGCAAACCUUAUGUGAUGAUACAGGUUGUUAGUUGCUACUAGAAAGUGUUGAGAGAUAUUAAAGCGGUGUAACAAUUGCUGUCGGGUUUAGCAACUGAUAUCUUCUUCAUCUCCUUUUGCACUGCUUACAUGUAAGGUAUUGUAGUUUAGGUGCUUCUUUCACCAGCUGCAAAACAAUGCAGCUGGUGCUUGAUGCAUGUGUUAAUGCAUGCAUAAUGCUAGUAAGCUCCUGUUAUGGGUCUCAAGCAUGAAUGUACCCCAAGAUUUCUAUUGGAACUGGACAUGUGUUAAUGUAAUUAGGUGCUUCUUUCACCAGCUGCAAAACAAUGCAAUUUCAUACGUUUUCACCAGCUGCAAAACAUCAUAAAAAUACCAUUAGGUACUUCCGUAAACACAAAAAUAGAAACAAUGCAAGACAUGGCUUGUCUCUGAUCCUCUGUUUUCUUUUUUCAUUGGUUGCAUUUUGAUCCUAAAUGUCAAUCAAUAAGUCUAUUAUUAGGAAUCAGCAAAGUUGAUUAUCUAUUCUACAUAAUUUCUAAUCUGAUGUUUGCAUUUCCUAACUAUAGCAGUUUUUUCUCAGACCAAGGCAAAUGAAAUCGACUAAAGAAAGAAAUAGCAUUUACCAAUUACCACUAACCAUGGCACUAAUGUUUCACCUUAGAUCAUAUGUUUGUUCUCUGAUACACAUGUGGGAAACGUUCUAAACAACAACCUAUUAAUGGUAGUUGUUCUUUGUAUUGUGGAAUACAUCACAUGUUUUAUAAAUGGGGUCAGAUGUAUAAUUAGUCGAUGUAUAAUCCUGGUACUAAUUGGUCUCUUCUGCUGCUUAUCAGAGAUGGGGGGAAGCAGCCACCACCGCUCUGCCUCACCGGAGUACGAGUUGGAUGCUUUCGAGUUCUUCAGUAUCAUACUUGGGACUUCAGUAUCAGCCACGAGGCAGGUAUAUAAAACGAGAGAUCUCCCCUUCACCCAUCUCAUUAUGAUAACUCUGUUGUUUGCUACAUCACUCCUUGUCCCAAAUUGCAGAGGCUGCCUGACACUUUUAUGAACAUGCUGGGUGAAGAUCCGCCACAUAAUGUGAAGCUCCGACAGGCCGGCAGCGGGGUUCGCAGGCUGUGGGACGUGGAGUUGGUGAUCGAGGAGGGCCACAUGUACCUGUGCCGUGGCUGGGAGAAGUUCUACAGUGCCUACGACCUACGGACCGGGUACUUUCUUCUCUUCAGGUACGACGAUGACGCCACAAUGCUCAUCGUGAAGGUUUUCAACACGACUAUGUGUCGCAUGCGCUACACUGACGACGAAGAUGCCAGUGCGUUCUGCCUCUUCUUAUUCCUCUACAUUUGGCUUUGUCUCACAUCGAUUGUUAACGGCCAUUGUUGCAUUUGGACAGGCAAUGGGAGCAGCAGCAGCGACACUGGCUACAGCCAAAGCAGCAGCGAUUAUGGUUGUAGCAAAAGCAGCAGCGAUUCUGGCAGCAGCAAAGACAGCAAGAAGGAUGAUCCGGACUGGAGUGGGGGAGAAGAGGAGCAGAGUGGGCCGCUGCAGGAUGACGAUGGGCAUCAGGCUGAGGAUGACCUAGCGCUGGUGGUGGCUGACCAAGGGCAAGAGAUGGUGGUGGCUGACCAUGGGCAAGAGAUGGUGGUGGCUGACCAUGGGCAAGAGAUGGUGCUGGCUGACCAUGGGCAAGAGAUGGUGCUGGCUGACCAUGGGCAAGAGAUGGUGGUGGCUGAGGAUGACCUAGCGAUGGUCGUGCCCGUCCUGCCUGAAGGUGGCCUCACGAUGGUGGUGGUGCCUGACAAUGACCACGCACCGGUGGUGGCGCCGGCGAUCCCACAGCUGGGCGACAUGACCACGCCAAUUGUGGUAGAAGACUACAUCCCACAGCUGCCUCCACCGCCUCGCCGCUCUUGGCGCAUCAGGCUGAGGAAGGAGAAGGAGAAGAACAAUGAGAACUGAACUAUGUGAAACUUUUGUAAUAUGGUGUUGGAUCGAUAACGAUGUUGGAUGAACAAUGUGAAACUUUUGUAAUAUGUAACGAUGGAACUAUGUGUUGGCUAUGUAUGUAUAUAUGAUGAAACUUGUGUGUUGGAUAUGAUUGUUAUAUGGAUGCUUGUUGUAUAUAUAUGUGUUGGAUAUCUCAUAUGUGAAAUAGUGACCUGAGAUUAAGAAAAAAACGAUUUUUUUUUAAAAAAAUGCUACUAAUGGCGCACUUCCAUCUGGUGCGCCAUUAGUAUACCAGUUACUAAUGGCGCACCUGUGGGAUACUAAUGGCGCACCUGUGGUGCGCCAUUACUAAAAUAUUCUAGUGGCGUGGUGCUAGUGGCGCACCAGUAGUGCGCCAUUAGUAGGCAAAACUGGUGCGCCACUAGUAAGCCUUUUUCUAGUAGUGGUGGUCGUUACUAUGUUUCUUUUCCUGAUGAUCAGUAGUGGAGCCCAGUUGGGACGAUCGGGGAUCUAGAAUUUGGGGUUAUCUUAUUUUCAUUUGGAUUUGACCGUAGUCGGUCUAUGUGUGGAUUUUGGAUGAUGUAUGAAUUAAUUUAUGUAUUGUGUGAAGUGGCGAUUGUAAGCCAACUCUCGUUAUCCCAUUCUUGUUCAUUACAUGGGAUUGUGUAAAGAUGACCCUUCUUGCGACAAAACCACAAUGCGGUUAUGCCUCUAAGUCGUGCCUCGACACGUGGGAGAUAUAGCCGCAUCGUGGGCGUUACAGGCACCUCCGCGAUCUGCACACGUUCGGUUCGGUGAUGUCCCAUGAACUCACGAUCCAGUAGAGUGUCGGGGAAGAGCUUCGUCAGCACGACGGCGUGAUGACGGUGAUGAUGAAGCUACCGCUGCAGAGCUUCGCCUAAGCACUACGACGAUAUCACCGAGGUGGAUUAUGGUGGAGGGGGCACCGCACAUGGCUAAGAGAUCAAGGAUCAACUUGUGUGUCUAUGGGGUGCCCCCCUCCCCCGUAUAUAAAGGAGUGGAGGAGGGGGAGGGCCGGCCCUCCUAUGGCGCGCCCCAUGGGGAGUCCUACUCCCACCGGGAGUAGGAUUCCCCCCUUCCCUAGUUGGACUAGGAGUGGAAGGAAGGGGGAGGAAGGAGGAAGGAAAGGGGGGCCGACCCCCCUCCCAAUUCGGAUUGGGCUUGGGGGGCGCGCCCCCUCCUUUGCUCCCUUCUCCUCUCUCCCACUAUGGCCCAAUAAGGCCCAUAUACCUCCCGUGGGGUUCAUUAGUUUCGUAUGAACUUCUGGGUUUUUUGAAAUGGUUGAAUCCUAGUUUUUAAUUAACACAAAAGCACUUCGUUAGUUUCGUAUGAACUUCUGGGUUUUUUGAAAAACGAGGAAAUUCUAUUUUAAACUUUUUUUAGUUGUUCCUUUAUUUUUAUUUUGAACUUCUUUGUUUUAUUCCUUAGUAACAAGAAAAAGUCUGAGUUUUUUAUGAACUUUGAACUUCUCUAUUAUUUAAUUUGAACUUCUUCGUUUUAUACAUAGAAAAUAUCAUUGUUUAAAAAAUAUCAUUGGGCAUACAUUUAUUUUACCUACAGACGGGAAGUGUUUGAGUUAUUUUGUAUUAAUUGAACUACUCUACUUUUUUAAUUUGAACUUCUUGAUUUUAUUUAUUAGUAACGUGUAAAUUAUGAGUUUGUUAUAAACAUCGAAAUGCUCCAUUUUUUAGAUUGGAAUUUCUUGGUUUUAUGUUUUAGUUAUUAAAAUAGUCCUAGUUUUGUAAGAAACAUCGAACAGUUCUGUAAUUUAAUUUUUAGUGUCUAGUUUUCUUUUUAUAAAUCUUUUUUUUCUAUUUAAAUUCCUGAAUUUAUCUGCUUUUACAUUUUGAACUUCCUGGUCGUCCUUUUUAGAAAUAGGAAAAAAAUCAUUUUUAUUGGUAUUUUCGUGUUUUUAUGUUUUGUUCAGGUUACCAUUCUCUCAGUUCAAAAACUAUAUGAUUUGCCUCGAUAACAGUAAGUGAACUUCGUGGACAUUAUUUAUAAAACACACUCUUUUUCUAGUAUGUGAAUUUUCCUAUAGAUGUACAAGAACCUUUUGUUUGUUUGCACCUCAACAACCAACAUGGAACAGUACGAUUGGAAAAUCAUAGAAAGCUAUACCAGAUGAAUCAUGGAAAAUAUUGACCAAAUCACACAACAAAAUGGCCAGGUCGAGGGCAGUUCUUUCACAGGCAUUUGAAGGAAACAAGUAGGGUAUGGAAGAAACAAAAUCUGAAGCGAGGUUGAGAUCCCUCCUCGAUGCACAAUUCACAACUCCUGUGCAGGGGAUCCAUUUUUGCCAGCGACUUGAGCAAAUCAUUGUAUCUUAAUUCUACAGUCGAAGAGCCAGACUCAGCAUGCCUUCUUCUGCAAAACGAAAAUCUGAG
RNAcentral lists this long non-coding RNA (67538 nucleotides) under Triticum aestivum (bread wheat). RNAcentral describes it as "long non-coding RNA (TAES_LNC009277)". The record is from RNAcentral. Lineage: Eukaryota; Viridiplantae; Streptophyta; Magnoliopsida; Poales; Poaceae.